This 48356-nucleotide long non-coding RNA is filed under the name Arabidopsis lyrata. Its description in RNAcentral is "long non-coding RNA (ALYR_LNC002485)". The record is from RNAcentral. Lineage: Eukaryota; Viridiplantae; Streptophyta; Magnoliopsida; Brassicales; Brassicaceae.
AUGGAGGACUCCACUUUUUCCCCUUUUUUUCUGGUGGCUUAUGUGGAUUAAGUGGAGUUUGGUGAACCUCGCUGUGAAGCUGUGAUGUAUUAAUAAUGUUCUACACAUCUUGAAAAGGUCUUCUCUGUGUCCUUGCUGUUUUUUUGGCUGAUCUUACACUCGUAUUAUAAGUAACUGUAGAUGCAAAUCAUAAACCAGUAUGGUUAUUUAUUAGUUUGCAUCAUAUGUAGAUGCUAUAUUGUUGGAAUAUAAAUGUUUACAUACCUUUUGUUUCCUUUUGUAUGGCUGCAGAAGAAGAAGGACCAGUUACUGUCUGUAAGGCUUCAGAAUCACACUGCUGGGCUGGUAUGUUACCUAUUCCAGAUCUCAAUCGAUUAAAAAUCCCUUUUACUUGAACAUCACUCCUAUCUUGUUGGUUAUGUAGAUUUGGAUUUAUGUUUUGAUCAUGUAGCUGAGACCUAGAACGCUUUGUGUUAGGUGUCUGCAUUACAUUGUUAUUUUCUUUUACUGUUUCAUUUUUUCUUCUCUUCAUUCUGAAAAACAAAAUAGAUUUUUGAGGAAAAAUAAUUCCAAUUAUGUCAUUUGUCAAUGAACAUGUUCAAUGUUGAAAGAGAUUAAAAGACUGACCUUAUAGAUGUUUCUUUGCUAAUGAGGCGAGUAGCUGUAGAUUAGGAUUGAAGGUGUUAAAUGGUUAUGUAAUGAUUAUAAAGAAAUCGUCUCAGCCUGAUUUAGUGUGAUAGCAUUAAACUGAAAAGAUUACAAAAUAUAUUUUCUUUUCCAUAUUCAUAAUAAAAUCUACAUGAUUGAUUUUUAUUUUUAUUUUUAGAAUCUUGUAUAUUAAUAGGUUAAAUAUGCCAGUUUGGUCGUGAAAGCAGUUGUUAUACUACAACAAUGAAAUCUUUUAAAACUGAUUUAUCUAUACUGCUAUACUCAAGUCCAAUUUGUUAACGAUCCAGAAGAGGAGAUAGAUUUUAAUAGCUUAAGAUCUUUAAAAUACUUGCACAUAUGCCCUUUAAAAUAUAUGUACUUAUAUAUCUCACAUAUUAAUUAAGUUAGCCAUUUAUAGUAUAGAUAUCGUCAGAUUAGUAUAGAUUCAUCUCAGUCUCUCAAUGUUUGUUACUAACAUGUGUUUUCUUUUAUCUGCAGUGUUAGCUACUAAAAUGGGGCUUAUAUAUGAAGAUUCAUCAGUACAAAUCACAGGUUAGUAUAUUUUCUCUUUCUGUUUUGUGAUCUUUAGUUUAAGCAUAAGUUAGUUUAUAUUUUGCAAAGAGUUUAGUAUAAGGAGAAGCUUAGACUUUAUUGCCUGAAUUCAAAAUAACUGAAAAUUAAACACGCACAUAGCUAAAGGAAAUAACUAAAUAAGUUUUGAAACUUGAACAAAAGAAAAAAAUAGAAAACUAAUUGCUACAGCCAAGCUCCCUACAUUAUUCCCAGCCGGCACAACUUAAUUCUUGCCACCUUCAAUCUCUUCCUUCUCAAUGUCACCAAGAAUGGAAGAGACACAUGCCUUUUUAGUAGUAGAACCCUGACCUUCAAUGUCCUCAGAAACUGCAUCCAUACUACGCUUAGAUGAAGGAGUGGAUGAUGUAGGACCUAAAGGGUCAGUGGUUUCACUACUAUUGGUCAGAGCAAGUCCUUCCUGUUACAGUAAGAAAAUUAGGAUAGUCAAUAUAUAAUAGAUAAUUCUUUCAUAUAACAAAGUCAUUAAAUUAUAUAGUUAUAAGUAUCCAUAAUUUAUUCCCUGACUUGAGUAUAACUGAUGGUACUCACUAUUUAAUUGAAACAUGAUCCAGCCCUUUAGUGAUAAACUUGAAUAACUUUUUGAUAGAUUGAUUUUGGUUGCACCUACUAACAUUACCUGAUCAAUAGAGAGGUCAUUACGUUGGUCAGUCUGCUGGUCAGAAUCUUCAAUAGUAUCUAGAUUGUCAGAUUCAUUACCCAGCCAAACGGUUGAAACCUUGUAGGUUCAUCAAUUUCAUUGAUGUUUUCCUUUCCAACAGUCACCAGAAACUGGAAAGUCUUUCCAACCAAAUCUCUGAUUGGCUGAGGCAAGUUUGUAGGAUCCUGAAUCUGUUAUGAUAGAUUGAAAAAGUAUAUAAGAGAUUUGAAUAUUAUGGUCUAUAUACAUAUUAACAACAAAUUUGUUUACCUCAUCCCACUUCCCUUCAAGCAAAUCCUCUGCAGACACACCGAUUAUCUCUUGUGCACUUUUAUCAAAGAUAAGACAUUUAGUGUCUCCAGUGCUAUCCAUUACUCCAACGUUUAAAAGAUACCUACAUAUCAAAGGAACAAGAAAGUAGAUUAGAUACAUAGUUAUUAUCUGAAAAAUGUAGAUAUAUAUUAGCAAAUCUCAAAGUCCUACCUUGGUAUCACCUUAGGAGUGUAUUCCUUACAUGUUGGACACCAAAACAGUUCUUUCUUACCUUUCUUGACAAUCUCAUUUUCAACCUUUGGAAUCUUAUAGGCAGUUUUGCUAUACUUGAGACAACUAAAGAAAUACCAAGAAUAGUCUGUGUCGAUAUUCAUUAUGGUAUAAAUUAUGUUGCACUUUCCAGUCUAAACAAAAUAAUAGAUAAUUAGUAAUAUAGACAGGGAAAUUCUAGAAAAAAAUAAUAUUAUCAAAUACUAAUACCUCAGAAAAACAAAAGAGUCCAGAGAUGGUUUUCCUUGGAAAACGAUCAUAGUAAUCCUUCUUUCUCUGUUCUGCAUUCACUUGUUUUGCCUUUGAGUCUUCGAUAGUAAGUGGCAUAACAUCAGGUGGUAAACUAUUUUUAACAAAUAAAAGAAAAAGAAAUCAACUUUAGAUAAUAUAAAUAGGAUUCACAGUUUUAUAUUAGCAAAAGAAAUGUGAAUUUUUAACAUCUCACUUGGCCACAAACUCAAGAACAGCAGGGUAGUUAGGAUUGAUUUCCAAUAGAGACAUAUCAAAUGAAUUUAAAACAACUCUUUCACCUAAAAACAGCAUGAUAUUAGUAUUUUCACAUAUGUUCUGGUUUCAUUUCGAUUUAUCAAAUCAUGCAUUUAGAAUACUUUAACAACAUUCUAUACCUUUAAAUAAGUUGAUCUUUGCAAGCCGAAGCAAGCAAAUCACUCUCUCAGUCCCUGCAUUUUGACAUGCAUUAUACAUUGCCUCAGCAAAUCUCCCCCAAAGAGUGCAUUUCAGCCUUUCAUCACUACAAUAUAACAAAAAUUGUGAGAAACUUUUGAGUUUAGAUUUAUGUAAGAUUAUAUAAAAUAAGGUAGAUAUUGACUAAACUUACUUUGUGUCUCUGAGUUCACACUCAAGUUUCUUUGUGAUCUUGUUGUUAACAUCAUGAAUUUUCAUUUCAUUGAAACUAACAACCUGUCCAAGUACAUCUGCAAAAUAAGAGAGUAAUAAAUUAUAUUUUCAUGAAGAAGUUCCUAUUAUAAUAGAAAAAGAAAAUAUACAAUGGAAAGUAAGAUAGAUAUAGUACCAAUGAAGAUGUUUUCACUCAAUACUGCUUCAUUCAAAAUAUCUGGAAAGUUUGCCAGAUCCACAUAAAUGUCAUCAGAAACAGCAGGAGUGCGACUUAUCACAGUUUUUUUCAUCAUGGACAUCUUGAAACCAUGUUUCGUGGCUCGAUACUUUCCUGUUGAUUUGGUUAGUGUAAAAUGCUCGAUAAUACGCCAUUCUCCAGAAACUAUGAACCUUUGGAGUUUGCUCACUUGUGGCUUCUUAACAGUAGCAUGAAUCAAAGUACCCUGGCAACAGAUAAAAAGAACUCAUGUUAAUCAUCCAUUGACAUUGAUAAUUGAUAAACGUUUAUUUGAUUUGAAAAUGAUAGUUCUUUUACUUACAGAUGUAUCAGCAAGAACCAUUUCAACUGUUUUUCCUGUGAAUUGAGUGUAUUGUGUCCACGAAUGCACAAUCUUAACCUGAAUUUUCCAAUGUGUUUUGAAGGGCUUAAUUUCAGCAAGAGGGGUGAAUGCUUGCACAGCUGCCAUUUUCUUAGAGAAAUAGUGAAGUGGUAGUGGUAAAGCCUUGAAAGGUGAGUUAUUUAGAAUGCAGGUAACUAUAUUUAUAGUAAUCUUAUGGAGCCUUUAGUUUUAUUAGGUUUUAGAGAAUAUAGGCCGUAUAAGAUCAUUUGGGAUUAGGAUCUUUAAGGUAUAUGCUUGAUUUAGUUAGAUUUCGUUGCAUAUAAUUUUCGAUUUAAAUAUUUGGUAUAUCAAUAUCGAACUGAAUAUAGAUAUUGAAGAGAUUAUGUGUAGAUUAUUAUACCAACUAAUAAGGGAAAUCUAAUAAGUUAGAAUACUGUAUCUUUCAAUAUAGGGAAACAGGAAUUAAUUAGUUUUGAAUUUAAUUUGCCGUGUAAAGGGAUAUUUUUUAGAAUGAAUUAAUAGUUUGCGUUUAUAUGGUAAGAUUUUUGCGAGAUUUGAGUGUAAUUAUUAAAAAAAUUAAUAAGUUAGAAUAUUGUAUCUUUCAAUAUAGGGAAAUAGGAAUUAAUUAGUUUUGCAUUUAAUUUGCCGUGUAAAGGGAUAUUUUUUAAAAUGAAUUAAUAGUUUGCGUUUAUAUGGUAAGAUUUUUGCGAGAUUUGAGUGUAAUUAUUAAAAAAAUUAAUAAGUUAGAAUACUGUAUCUUUCAAUAUAGGGAAAUAGGAAUUAAUUAGUUUUGCAUUUAAUUUGCCGUGUAAAGGGAUAUUUUUAAAUUGGCAUUAAUAGUUUGCGUUUAUAUGGUAAGAUUUUUGCGAGAUUUGAGUGUAAUUAUUCAAAAAAUUAAUUUGUUAGAAUACUGUAUCUUUCAAUAUAGGGAAAUAGUUAUUAAUUAAUUAGUUUUGCAUUUAAUUUGCCGUGUAAAAGGAUAUUUUUAAAUUGGCAUUAAUAGUUUGCGUUUAUAUGGUAAGAUUUUUGCGAGAUUUGAGUGUAAUUAUUAAAACAAUUAAUUGCUAACUUAUUUCCGAUUUAGAAUAAGUAAAGAAUAUGCUUGAUUUGUUAUUAUAUGGAAUAGAAAUAAAUACGUUUUAUUUUAGGAAGUGUAAUUUAUGAGAUUUGUUUGUUAAGGCAAUAUACAGAAUAGUAUAAUUGAUCCGGAAAAAUAGUCAAUGUCUCGGUAAUGUUUUUAUUUGGUAUUAUCUACAGCAGAUUCCAAAAAAAUCAAAAAGAGAUUCAUGAUGGACCUAAAUAUAUUGUAAGCCCAAUAGAUAUUUUGCUUUGACAGGAUCCAAGUGUAGGAUCCGGGAUCCGCGUCCCAACAACGGGAAUUUUACAAUUUUACCCCACCACGCAAAUUUUUAUUUUGUCUUUAAAAUUUUAAUUGUAAUGGCAUUCUCUUGUAAUUAUUUACAGAUUGUAAGGUUAUUUUUCAGGUAAUCCUUCCCAAUUAAUAGUAUAGAUUCAAUUGGUGUCUCUGGUUCCUCUUUGCCCUCUCUACCAAUUAUUGAGCUGCUUUCUUUUCCUACCUCUUUUUCUUGUUGAGUCUUCACUCCUCACAUGAUUUUAUAAUGUAUGUGCGGGUUCGGACCUAGUAUAAAAUGUUAUUUAUGUUUGCUUAUGACACAAUAGCAACCAUAAGGCAUUUUUUGGAGUUUGAAACUGAAGAGUAGAUUAGAAAAAAAUCUUAGAUUAAAAUAUAAUAUAAGUUAGAUUGAUGUAAAAAAAAUAUUAUAUAGUUAUAGUAUUUAUAACCUAAACGCAUAUCAGUUGGUUGAAAUAUUUGAAAUAAUAAUGAUUUUAAUAGUAUUUUAAAAUUCGUAACAAUCAAACGGUCGGACCAAGAUCAAAAUGAAUCGAAUUAAUGGUCACGUAGAUUUUUAUUAAACUUGUGAACAUUACACUUGUAAACUAUCAAACGUAUAUAAAACCGUUAAAAUGAUUAAAUACGUUUGCGAGAAAUAGAAAUAUUUAGAGAUAGGCGUAAUUCCCAUUCAGUUUUAUCAUGUUCCAUUAUAUCUUACCCGUUCUCCAAUUUAUGUCUCAUAAGAGAACGCAUUUCUAAUAUAAGACAAAUUUUGUAUUCCCGAUUAGAAACAGGACGUGACGGAAACAAAAAUUCUCGAUAUCCUGUUUGGGACAAACACAAAUAUAAUUCAUAGUAUAUUUUUAUAUGAUAUGCUAUAAUAAAAAAAGUUAGAUUGAUGUUAAAAAAAUUAUUUAUAUAGUUAUAGUAUCUAUAACCAAAACUCAUAUUAGUUGGUUGAAAUAUUUGAAAUAAAAAUGAUUUUAGUAGUAUUUUAAAAUUCGUAACGAUCAAACAGUCGGACCGAGAUCUAAAUGAAUCGAGUUAAUGGUCAGAUAGAUUUAGGUUAGUUAUAUAAAUUUAAAAUAAUGAAAACUACCCAUUUAAAAAAAAUAUAUAUUCUAAAAUUUUAUAUCAUUUAAACUCUAAUUAAAUGUUAAAUAUUUUAAUCUAUCUUUCAAAUAUUUUUUAGAUAUUUACAAAUUUAGAAUCCAAAAAAUUAGUUUUUGAAUAAGCUGUAUUUUAAAGGAUAGAAGUAUUUUGUUAAGAUUAUAUACGACAAAUAUAAUAAAUGUUUUUUCAUAUUUGGAAAAUCAAAAUUGAAAAAUCUUUUUUCCAUGUGUACCAAUCAGAAUUAAUUAGCAUAGUAUUGUUAAGGAAAUUUUUAAAAAUGUAAACGAAAUGAUAAUUUGUUAUUAGAUUAGAUUGCCAUUUUUGAAAAUAUCUAAUAAUAUCUUACAAAAAUAAUUUAGUUUACAUAUAUGCAAUUUUGAAUUAAAUAUACACAAUUACCCGUUUCGGUUUAUUAAUUUUCCUUCUUCAAAUUUAAAAAUAUCAAUGACAUUCUUUGUAAUUAUUUAUCUUUUAUAAGGUUAUAUUUUAUCUAAUGCUUCCCAAUUAAUAGUAUAAAUCUACACUAUUAAUAUCAUAAACUUUUAUAGAUUGGUAACAUCGUUGAUAACUACUUCUCGUUGCAAAAUUGAUAAUAUCGUUGAUAAAUAUUUAUAAUUUUAGUAUUUACCAACCCGCAAAUAUUUAAUUUUAUUUUAAAACAUAUUAUUUCUAUUAUUAAUUUAGUUUAGUUGCUAAUAAUUUGGUUUAGAUUUUAUUGUUAAAAUAUUUUUCUAUUUUUCAAUUAAUGACAUUCGAUUUAUGCUGAUUUUUUUUUAUUUCUAACAAAUUGAAAAAUACAAAAUAUUUUGAUUUAUAUUCAAAAUAAAUAUAUUGAUGCUGAAUAUUCAGUUAUUAUUUAAUAUUUAAUGUUGUUUCCUUUUUUGUUUUCUGUAGACAAAUCAUACCAAAAAUAUUGACGAAACAAAUCUCAGAAUAUAUUGGAUCAUUUAAUCUCGUUAUUUAUUUUUACAAAAAAUUAAUGAAGGAUCCGAAUCAAAUAUAUUUAUUUAGUUGUAGUAGUUGUUUAUUUACUAAAUUACCCAUGUAAAAAUUCAUUUAGUUAGUCUUAAACUACCCUCACAAUGUUGUAGUUCACAAAAUGCUUCCCAAUUAAUAGUAUAGAUUCUUACAAUAAUUAAAAUUUUUAUUAAACUAUAAUGAUAUUAUAUAUAUAUAUAUAUAUAUAUAUAUAUAUAUAUAUAAAAUUUAGGCAUUUUUUUGCACGAAAUUAAAAUUUAUCUACAAAUUUUAAAUAAGAUAUUAUAUAUAUAUAUAUAUAAUAUCAUUAUAGUUUAAUACAAAUUUUAAUUAUUGUAAGAAUCUAUAUUAUAUAUUAAAAUUUGAAACCAAAAUUAUUGUCAAUAAAAAACCAAAAAACUUAAUUUUUAGUUAAUUCUUUAUUGUUUCAUUACCAUAAUCUUAUAUAUAUAUAUAUAAUCUUUCAUAUAUAUAUAUAUAUAUAUAUAUAUAUAUGAUUUUAUUUUUUAUCAAUAAUUGUUUUUUGUGCAAAUGGAUUCUGGAGCUAUAAUAAUUUAAUUGCCAAAAAUAGAUAAAUAGGUAUUAAAAAAUUGGUGAAAUUAGAUAUAUUAGCUUAUGUCUUCAACUAUUUAAGGAAUAACAAGUUGAAAUAUAAAUAGCUAUACCGUGUUAUACAUGGAUUAAACUUUUUAAAAUACGUAUAGUGUCAAUCAUUAUGCAAAUGGAUUUUGGAGCUAUUAUAAUUUAACUGCGGAAAAUAGAUAAAUAGGUAUUAAAAGAAAUUUAAUUGGUGAAAUUAGAUAUAUUAGCUUGUGUCUUCAACUAUUUAAAGGAAUAACAAAUUGAAAUAUAAAUAGGUAUUAAUGUGUUAUACAUGGAUUAAACUUUCUAAAAUAAAAUAAAAAAUCAAAUAAUGGAUAAAAAGAAUAUAUAAGAUUUAUGUAGUUUUACCUAAAUUAUUUGGUCUGAUUGGUAACACAAAGCUGUACAAUUUUUUUAGCUUUUAGCUGGAGCGGUAAUAUGCUAAAUUCAUAGGAAAAGUGUUUAGGAAAAAAUGAGCAUUAUAAUUGGCAGAAAUAGGGAAUGUAGAGAUGGAACUAAACAAGAAGUUACAACAUUGUGCAAAAUAAGUUUCACGUCUGAUAGAAACUGGAGGAGUCUUUACUUAAUAUCAUAUAAUACAUUAUAAAUCUUUUUGACGGUUGCUAAUUGCUUGAAUAAAAUGAUAUUAUUUACCAAGGAAGUUCCAAGAAUGUCAUGUUCAUGGAAACUUUCAAAAGAUUAGGUUCAGACAAAGCUACUGUAUAAUCUGUUUUUUUUUUCUUUUACUUUUUUUUUUUGAUCAUCUGUUUUUUAUAUAUUGAAAUUUUGAUAGGAUUACAGACUUUGCAAAGUAGAAACCAAGAGAAGGCAGACAAAAACUCCCAACACUUUCAUACCAUAAUCUACACCUUUUAUAAAAACAUGGCCUAUACAAAAGAAUAUGCUUUCAUAUUAGAGCCAUAUUGAGACAAACAAAAAAAAACAAUUAGAUAGAGAAUGAAACUCCCACUUUCAAAUAAUCAAAAACAAUUAGAUAGAGAAUGAAACUCCCACUUUCAAAUAAUCUAUUAAGCCAAUGAAGAUGAGAAGAAGCUGCAUAAGAGUUUAAACGACCCUCAUUAAUAACAAUUUGGGCAAUGAGACGAGCUCCUCUAUCUGCUGAUGAUUUUUCCCUCCAUCCAAUGAAAGAUUGAAGUAACCUCAACACUUUAGUAGAUUUCCCUUUAAAAGAGGGUAAAGCUUGAGGUCUUAACAUAUCCCAACAUUGUUGUAUUUUCAUAUGUAAAAAUGAUGUUAUCACAUUUAUGAUUGAUCAUACAUUCAAUGGUUCAUAUAAUACAUGUGAAAAAUGCACAUCAACUAUAUGCUCAUCACUCAUCCAUAUGCGAGGUAUGACUACAUUCUCCUCCGCUUGUGUUUCCAAGCAACCAUAUAUUAUCUAUGGCGGGAAAGAAAUGAGAGAAGGCACAACAGCCUACAUCGUACGCACUCCCAACUAGUCCGUACGAUUGAGAGAGUUAUACAUUCAAGAAUCGUGUCUCUACGAUUCUAUGAGAAUAAGAAGCUACGAGGGUUGAUCCAACGGUGGUUUAGCUCAAGGCAAACUCACUAGCUGUUUUUGCUACUAUGUUCUACUUUCCAAUGCUUAUGCUCUGUUUCUUAUUGCUCUAUUAUUUCAUUUGUUGUAAAUAACUCUAUUUUCAUCAAUUAAUUUCACAUUUCAUCAAAAAAAUAAUGCACAUCAAAUAUGUAAUAGCAUAGCACUUCUUCUCUUUUUUUUUUUUUUGUUAAAAGCACUUCUCCUCUUUUAUCUCUUAAAACCCAUGCAACACCUGCUACCAAAUUCCUUUUUGAUCACUCAGCUUCAAUGUUACACUUAAGCAGGAGCAAAGCUAACUCAUUGGGAGGGGGGUUAGUUGACUCCCAUAACAUUUGUGAAUUUUGUUUUGCAUGCUUAUUUGGUCACUACAUGAUAAAUGAUUUGGUGUAAAUUUUCUUAUUUGACCUCUAUGUCUGAGGAUAAUCUUCUCCCUUUGACCCUUCUCUUGCUAAUUUUUUUAAUUUUGUUGUGUCUUUAGUCUUUUAAAACACACUCUCAUCAUUUUUACAUAUUAAUCUUGGUUAUUCUUUUCAUUCUUAUAUAUUUUGAGACAAAAUUAUUAUAAUUCAUAUAUACCAUAUUUCUUAUACCAAUAUUUACAGAAAAAUAAAGUUGGAAAAUGAUAAAUAAUAUGAGACUACACUUAUACCUCAACAAAUAGUUAAGUAUUUCUAGAGCUGUGUAUCUAUUUUAAUUGAAAAAAACUACAAGUUAUAGGGUUUGUAUAAUGAUAUUAUGUUUAGUUAUAUUUGAUUUAAAAAACAUAGUACUUAAAAUGCUGAAAUUUGGUUUUAGUAGCAUUAUUUUAAAAAUAAAUGAAUUUAAUAUUAUUAUACAAUUAUAAUAAAGGAAAAAUGUCGGUAAAAUCCCCAACUUAUUCAAAACGUUGAUUUAAAUCUUCAACUUAUGAUGAAACGAAAUAAAUAUCAAACUUAUGUUGACUUUCCAAAUAAAUAUCAAACUUAUGUUGACUUUCCAAAUAAAUAUCAAAUUUAUGUUGACUUUUCAAAUAAAUAUCAAACUUUCGUUGAUCUGGCCAUAUUAGAUACGACGUUAAGUGGGUUAAUAUUUAUUUGGAAAGUCAACAUAAGUUUGAUAUUUAUUUCGUUUCGUCGUGAGUUGAGGAUUUAAAUCAACGUUUUGAAUAAGUUGGGGAUUUUAAUGACAUUUUUCCCAUUAUAAUAAUAUAUAUAACUCCUAUAACAAAUUAUUCUGGCACCGCCACUGCACUUAAGCCAUCUGUUUGGAGGAUGUUUUCAAAUACCUUAUGUCCCCAAAUGACUAGCACUAGGCAAAUUUAGAUACACUAACACUUCUAAUAGCCUCCGGUGUGCCACCAUUUAUCUCUGUAUUCGCGUCACCUCUUUGAGCCACAGACCACUCCUCAACAUCGUCUGAUAUUUUCCUUGCGAUACCUAAGUAUUGGAAACUUAACUUUUUUUCCUUUUCAUUCUCUACUAAUUCUCCAAAUAAAUAGUCUACUAAAUUAGGUAAAUUUUCAUAUAAAAUUGCUUUUUAUGUAGGUCUUCUUUAUUUAACAUUUUAACUGUCAAUUAUAAAUUUCUAUAUUUAUUAUUUUUGCCUUUACUUAAUUAAACAAUCAUUUUUCAUAUGCAUAAAAUAGUUAAAUAAUGUACAAAUAUUAAGUAUUUUAAAUAAUAGGGAACGUGGCAUGUUGGGGCACUUACAGAGAUUUUAUGAGCAAUUUAGGCACAUGAGAAGGAGUAGGCACUUUUUUGAUGAUUUUUCACUGUUCCAAAAAAAUCAAUACGAAUUUACCCUUACCACAUGUGGAUUUUUUAACCCAACUGUGGUUAACUUCUUAAAUUACAGCCGUUGGAUAUAUUGGAGAGAGAAUCGAUCCUACGAUUGAAGACAAGUUUCAGGUGAGAGUUAGGUGUGUUGAUGAUAAUACCGACAACAAGAUUUUAGGUUUCGCUCCCCAUUUCGCAACAUGGCCGAUGAGGUAAAAGUAACACUUACAUAUGGAUAUUCAAUCUUUUUCGAUAAAUUGUGGAUUAGUGUUGAUGGUUGUAGAAAUGUGAUCAAUUUUUUCAGGGUUAUUGUAUGGUAAUCUGCGGCGAAUGGCAAUAUUCCGAACUUCAACAAUGGGAUUUCGUUAUCAACAAAUUUCUUCUGUCUAGAAUUGUUCCAAUUACCCACAGGAUGAAGCUAUGCGAGUUGGAAGAGGUUGUGUUAAAAGAAUUCCAGAAUGAAGUUUCAAUUUUGGGGACACCCAGGUUUAGUUAUUUGCCGCCGAAUAUAAUGGAUUACACGACUGGGAAGACGACGCCUCCGAUAUUGGUUACUAGUGAGGUUGGUUUGAAAUUUUUCAUUUAUAUGUUCCUGAGAAAUAGAGGAUUGAAUUUAUUCGUAAAUUUUGGUGAAAUGAUGGGGAAUGUGAUUCCUCAUGGAGCAAAUGUGAGGGAAGAAUGUGUAGCUGGGAUAUAUGUGAUGAGGAGCAAAAAAAGCGUGUUUUCAUCAUCUAGUGAAAGAAUUGUAAGAAGUGAUGAUGAUAUUGGAUGGGAGGCUCCAACUGCAGGUUCAAAAACUCCACAGAUUCCAACCACAUAAGAUGAUGUGGAUGUUUUGGCUGAGGUUGAAGUAAUGGAUAGAAUGAUGGGGAAAGGGAGUCCUCAUGGAGAAAAUGGAAGGGAAGAUUGUGUUGCUGGGUUAUCUGUUAUAAGGAGCAAGAAAAGAGUGCUUUCAUCAUCAAGUGAAGGAAUUGAAAGAAGUGAUGAUGACAUUGGAUGGGAGGCUCCAGCUGCAGGCUCAAAAACUUCAAAGAUUCUAACCACACAAGAUGAUGAGGUUGUUUUAGCUGAGGUUGAAGUACUGGAGGCUAUGUUUACGAGAGGCGAUGAACAAGUACUUAGGAGUGGUUGUGAGGGGAAAAGUAGAACUAGUGGCAGUAGUGGAGACUAUGAAGAUAUAUUAGAGGAUAGUGAGGAAGAGCUUGAAUUAGGGGAAGGUGAAGUUGAAGUUUCUCCAUCCCGAUAUGAUACAGAGUUUUGGGGUAAUUUUUUGGAUGAUGAGCUAGCUGGUUCUAAUGCCCCUGAGAUAAUGUGUAGUCCGAGGGAAAUUAGUUCUCUAGUAGAAAAAGGUUUGCAAGAUGGUAUAAGAAGUGAUGGCUCAGCAGCCUUGCCAAUUGGAGGACAGAGAGAAAAUGAGGCAAGGAAACUUGAUGAAGUUGAUGACGAGGAGUUUGAUAUACCUCCUUUGUUUGAUGAUUGUGAAUAUGAAAGGGACGAAAUCCCUGAUCUUGAUAUUGAAGAUGAUGAGAAAGGGAUCUUUAAGGGAAUGGUAUAUGAAAGUAAACAAGAUUGCCAAAUAAGCUUAGCUAUCCAUGCAAUCAAGGAACAAUUUUACUUUAAGCAAACUCGUACAAAGCGUCAUUCUUUUGUUCUUACUUGUGCUGAUGAACGCUGUCAGUGGAGAAUAAUGGCUCUUGAGAUGAAGACGUGUGGUUACUACCAGAUAAGGAAGGCUGAUUUAGAGCACACAUGCAAUAUAGAAACAAGGGGACAGUACAUGAAGAAGGCAACUUCUAGAGUUAUUGCAUCGGUGUAUAAAGCAAAGUACAGUAAGAUAGCUCAGGGGCCAGUGCCUAUGGAUCUUCAACAGAUGGUACUUAAGGAUUUGAGGGUGACAGCGUCAUAUAGUACUUGUUGGAGAGCACGUGAGAAAGCUGUGGAAGAGGUGUUUGGUACUGAUGAUGAUUCAUAUAAGGCUUUAGAAGAUUAUCUGUAUGUAUUGAAACUUGAAAAUCCAGGUACUGUUACAGAGAUCAAAACAAAGGCUGAAGAAAAUGGAUGUCAAAGGUUCUUGUAUAUGUUUUUGGCAUUUGGGGCAUCUAUUGAGGGAUUUCGACAUCUUCGUAGGGUUGUUGUAGUGGAUGGGACUCAUUUGACUGGUAAAUACAAGGGAGUGUUACUGACAGCUAGUGGACAAGAUGCUAACUUCCAGGUUUUCCCCCUUGCAUUUGCAGUGGUUGACAGUGAGAAUGAUGAAUCUUGGACAUGGUUUUUUGAGAAGCUUGAGCGUAUUAUUGCCGACAGCAGUACCAUUACUAUAAUUUCAGACCGUAACCAAUCAAUCUACGUAGCUAAGAAGAAGGUAUUUCCUUGCGCUUACCAUGGGGCAUGUAUAGUUCACUUAGCACGUAAUGUGAAUGCUAAAUUCCAUAACAAAGGUCUUGCUAAUCUGGUUAAGAACGCUGGCUAUGCUUAUACUGUCAAACAGUUCAAUGUGAUUUAUGCUCAGAUAAGCAUGAAGAACAGUGAGUGUGCUAAUUAUCUUGAGAGGAUGAAAACAGGGCAUUGGACAAGGGUCUAUUUCCAAGGUGACCGAUAUAAUCUAAUGACAAGCAACAUUGCAGAAACUCUGAACAAUGCAUUAAGAAAAGGCCGAGGGUCCCCUAUUAUGGAAUUGUUGAAGUUCAUACGGGCGAUGUUAACAAGAUGGUUCAGUGCAAGAAGAAAGAAGUCUGGAAAGCAUAUAGGGGUAGUUACUCCAGAAGUAGAUAAAGUAUGGACGAAAAAUCUUGCAAAGGUCAGAGGAAGCAAAGUUGGAAAUGUGUCUACCUGGAGUUAUGAAAUUGUGGGGCUGUUCAAUGGAAAGCAUCAAGUCUAUCUUGAUCGUAAACAAUGUACUUGCAAGGAGUACAAUAAGCUAAAAAUUCCAUGUGGACAUGCUAUGUUGGCAGCAACCAGCGUUGGUCAAUCUUAUGGAUCCUUGGUAGCACAUUUUUACAAGACAGCGACUUGGAGAGCAACCUACGAGGGUGUAAUUAAUCCUGAACUCAAUCUAGAAGACGUUGUUAUUCCAAAUGGAAUUAAGAGUGGGGAUAUCUACCCGCCGCGGACUAGAAGGCCAUCUGGAAGACCUAAACAGCUGAGAAUCAAAUCCAUUGGGGAAUUUCCGGUUGGUAUCUACCAAAAAUAUUUUAUUGAAAUAUUAAUUAUAAUAUUUAAUUCAAACUGAUUUCUGCUCUUUUGUGAAAUUGCAGAAAUCAAAGACUGUGAAGGUGAAAAUUAACAGGUGUGGCAGAUGCAAAAAGACUGGCCACAACCGGACAAGCUGUACUAAUCCAAUCUGAAUAUGUUUUUAAAUCGUAUCUAACUAUUGUCGGAUAUAUGGAUAGAACGAUGACCAGGUUAUUUUUUUGUUUUGGUAUGAAAACUGUCUCAUUUAUGGAUAAUGUAUGUUGUAGUAUAAACCUAUUGUCUAUUUUUUUAAUUUGAAUUUUUAACUAAAUUCAUAUCAAGAUUUGAAUUUUUUCUAAAAUGAUCUUAAAAAUUAUUUUCAUUAUAUUCGACAUUAACCUAUAAACCAUUAACCAAGACCCAAAAAUUUAUCACCCAUAUAGUAGAAUAACCAUUAACCAGUAACCAUAAACCAUAAAUCCUUUUCUCUAAAUUGUAUAUUCUAUAGUGGACAGGUUUAUGUGGAUGCGAAAUAGAUAUAAUGUGAAGGGAUACUUUUUUAAAUUUUUUAAAAAUAAUCUACAUUAAAUAGAAUAAUUACUAGGCAUCUAAUAGGUCCUAUUUUCUCGGAAACAUUACCUUCGAUACAGUUAAUAUUACUGAUUCAUUUAAUUAGAAUUUUUCCCUAAUUGAAACGUCGAUUCGGUGAAAAGGUGUUUCAAAUUCCUAUGGCCUCUGUAAAAAACUUUAUAUAUAUCGGUAUCAUGCCAUCAUCCAUCUAUCUGUUUCUUUCAUAGCGUGAACAAUCUUAACCCUUCCCUCACCACAAAGUUUAAGUUGUUUAGAGUAGAUCAUGGUUAACUACCAUUUGCUUCACGAGUUGUCACCUGUAAUUACAGGAUGGAUGAUAUGUGUCUGUCUUCUUAGGGUUUACAAGAAAUUUGUGAAUCCUAACUCCUAUGAUAUCUGCUGCAUUCUUGUAGAUGAAUCGGUAAGUUUCAAAAACCCAGGAUCCCUUUGUUUGUUUUUUCCAUGUAUUGAAUGGUUGAAUGUAACUAUCUCAUUUAUAUCGUAAUUUUAUAGGGUGGCCAAAUGGAUGCAAGAAUAGAUCGUCGUUUCGCUGCUGUUUAUCUAGAGUCUAUGAAGGAAAAACAGUGGAAGACUAUAACGACUUUCAUUGUCCGAAAGAUCUCUGAAAAAAUCUGUCCAACAACCAAUCCAUAUGGUAUAUGGUUUAUGGAUCACACUGUUGUAACAAGAACCGAACCUAAGGAAACCAUCUUGUUUGAAAACCUCACUCCCUUUGACUACAUAGUUGAGAAUUCAGUCCCAACUAAUAUUUUGGUAAGUAAAGAAUACAUGAAUAAUCAUAUUUAUAUGUUUCUUUAGGGUCCUUAUUUAUACAUAUUUGUUUGUUAUUCCUAUAACUAAGUUUAAUGUAAUGAUGCAGAAAUUGUUGGGGCAAUAAUAGAGGUAGGAAGGUUGAGAAAUACAUCUGCCAACAUGGAAGACGUUAAUGGUUACACCAUAAAUUUCAAGAUCAUGGAUCGCUCGUAAGUUAAAAAACAUUUUACUAUCCAUCUGUACAGGAAUUCAUGUCUUUGUCACACUACAAGAAAAAUGAACAUUGAUAGCACAUGACGAUAGCUCAUUUUCCAUAACUGCUAUUAAAGAUAGUACCGAAAGUUAGGUUGGUCUAUCAUAGCGUUUUAGAAACGCUAAGCAUAGUGAAAAGCUAAAAUCACUUGUGGCGGCCAAUAUUUACCCAAAAUUUUAGACUUAAUGCCCACAAGUUAAAAGAAAAAAAAAACUCAAGUCAUAACCCUUAAUUCGUCGGAAAAAAAUUAAAAAAAUUAACUCGUGGAAGUGUUAACUGGUCUCUUCUUCUCUAAGAAAGUUCUCUCAUAUCUCUGAUCCACCUUGUCACUUAUCUCGGCGAUUUCUUCCGGCGGGACCAGCCACCUCCUCCGUCUGUGUACCUGACAAAUCGAGAUCAAUUUCAAGAGAUGCAGCUUGCAUUUUCCGGUGAUGGCUUCACUCGGAUCGACUGCCUCCGGCCAUUUCCCAGCUUGACGCCCGUGCUCUUUUCUCCUCUAUUCCCAUGUGUUCUCGACCUAUGCACCGUCUCCGGUGGUUUUGAAAGGGUAUCUAGGGUUUAUCUAAUUUUAGUUGAAUUUUGAGUUUAUGAUUUCGUCUCUAACGAAAUUGAUAACGUAGGCAGCUUGGAAAAUUUGUAGAGGAAAUCGCCAUCUAUGUAGGGUUCUUCCUUGUUUCGAGUCCCGAUCUCCUCUCUCAAUCUCAGGUAACGCCAAAAUCCUCUUUUUAAUUUAUGGGAUCUUUUCUACCACUUUCGAUAUCGCCGUUUUAGAUUUGAGAAUAUAUCAUCGUCCCACGAACUAAUCGCAUAUGUUGUUGUCUGACAUUAAUUUUCAUUUCUAUCUAUUGUAGUCUUCAGCUUCCGAAUUGACUUUCAACAAGUAAGCUCGAUGCCUUAUAUAUUUUUCUUACCAAACCCCCAAUCAUGUUGUGUAGAUGAAUAUUAUUUUCUUUCUAGUUUUGAUGGAUAUCCAUCAUUCACACGGGAUUAGUUAUCUAGCCAUUGAUGUCUCAUCCUUGAUUUAUAUGUUUUUUUGAAUAUUUCAGGGCAGAUGAUGAAGUUAUUGGUAGGGCUAUUGCUAUUAAGAUUUUUAGUAAUAGUAUUUUGCCUCUUUGUACUGGUGUUGUUAUCAUUGCUCUUGAUUGAUAAACUAAACACUCAAUUCUUAAUCUCUUAAUGUGUUAAUUGACCCAUUAGCUUUGUUAAAUUCUUCCAAAAUCUCAUCUUUAGACAUGAGCUUUUUGUUGUUAUGUGUCUCCUUGUGUCAAUUAUUUAUAUGUGUGUUUUGGUAAAAGUUUUGUCUUUUUGAUUGCUGUUCUAAUCGCAGUUUGGCUAAUCUAAUCUAUGGAUUGUUUGAAUUUUGUGUUGAGUUUGUUGCUCUUGCCUCCACCACUUCCGUUUCCUAGUUGUUUCCUUCUUUGUGGAACUAUAACUUGUUGUAUACCUCUAUAUAUUUGAUAUCUCUGUAUUUUACCUCUUUUUAGCACACAUUUCUUAUGCAUUUAGCUUAGUUUCCUCUCUGUUUCACUGCAUUAAUAUUCCUUUUUCAUAAGAUUUUCAUCACUUAGUACGAUUUGCAUUGCAUGGCAUAGCAUGUUGCAUAUUGGAUGAGUUUUAGGUACUUUGGAGCUUAUUUGGGACUUAAUGGAGCAAGGAGGAACCAACACGACCUUGGAGCUAGACUUGGGAUCGAAUUGGAGAAGAAUGAAGUCGUUCAAGAUCACCUGGGAGCAGUCUCGACGUGCAGACUCGACGUCACGUCGAGAUGGACACCAAGAAGCAGCCUGGGAGCAGUCUCGACGUGCAGACUCGACGUCACGUCGAGAUGGACACCAAGAAGCAGCCUGGGAGCAGACUCGACCAGACAGGCUCGACGUCACGUCGAGAUGGACAUCAAGGCGCCACCUUUGAGAAUCACUUGGUCUCGACGUGUCAGGCUCGACGACACGUCGAGUUGGCCUCCACCGACUCUCUAUUUUGUCCUGUAGCCAAUUAGGGCAACCUAGUAUUUCCUAUAAAUAGGGGUACAUGCUAUUGUCCAAAGGAUAUCCCUUUUACCCAGCAGAUAUUCUUCUUUUCUCUCAUAAACCCUAGUUUUUGUAAUCGUUUUUCCUGUUGAUCCUUUGAGUUUUUGGAUUUCGUUUCUUCAUCAACGUUGUAGAUCUGCCUCUUAUCUAUAACAUACUUGCUUUUUAAUGAUUUCUGGGUUUGAAACGUUUUCUGGGUUUUUAUGCAUGAUGUUCUUCAGUGUUCUUGAGUAGUGGAUUAGGGUUUUUGAGGAUGGGAUAGAUUAGGUGUGGAAUCCUUAGUAUAUUUAGGUGGUUAAGUGUAGAAUUGCUUGAUUUCCCUUCUGGUUUAGUAGAUCUUAAUGCUACUUCCUCUCUGAUCAAUUGGAAGUUGAUCUCAGAUAUUUCCACACCCAAAAGGUGUUUGAUGAAAUGUCUGAACCAACUAUUCCAGAGAUUUGCAUACUCUAGCCCAAGAGAUUGGAUGUUUAGAAUGCUUAUUGACUCUAUUAGAUUGAAUCUUAAUGCCUGCUAGAUUAUAUUUCUUCAAUGAGAAUUGAGUAUGAAAGUGAUUUAGCUUGAGAAUCUCUGUCACGAGAGUGGAUUGAUUUGUAUUCGAAUCUAUUGUCUAGGGAUAGCUUGAUUGAGUUUGUUAACCACCUAGGUAGACUAAGGAGACUGCCAUAAUCGAUUACCCCAUUCCUCAAGACCCUUUAUCUCUAUUGAUUGUUUAAAUCUUGUUUCUGUUAGUCUCUGUUGACCAUCUCGACCUGUUAGGCCUAGAUCGUUUCUCUGCAUUGUUAGGUUGCUAGUUUCUUUUCCAAAGCUUAUGCAUGAUAGUUUCUGGUCUUUAGUUUACUUCUUGCUCUUGUUUACUUGCUGUUUAGUUCUCUUUUAUUGCUUUUAAAUUCGGUAUUUGCAUGUUAAAUUGGUUGCUUAGGAUCAAUAGAAACACACAAAACCCUUUCACAAUUGGCUUGACUUAUUUGCUUUCUGUUUCAUAUCUUGAAUGCUUGCAGUCACACUGAGAUUGGAUUGAUAACCUAAUAUACUACAAUGGCAUGUGUAUUAGGGAUUGAUACAUGUUAGAGAUAGACAAAAUCUGACUAUCAAUUUGGCGCCGUUGCCAGUCUUGUGUUGCAUUGUUCCAUUUAAGAUUUCAGAAACGUUUAAGAUCAAGUUCUUUCUUUACCUUGGUUACUAACUCUUCAUUUCAUCUGCUUGUUUUUGUGCUCCAGGUACCAUCUCGACGACACGUCGAGACUGCCACAUCGAGACUGCCACUCUGCAUUGUUAGGGACCAUCUCGACCUCACGUCGAGACUGCCACAUCGAGUCUGAUCACUCUGCAUGCAAACUCGAUCUAAAGGGUCCAACAACCUCAUCAGCUACAAAGACAACAUCAACCAGUUAGCUCGUGAGUUAAGAGAAGGUAGAGCCCGAGACUACUGUGAACCGCACAAUCCAGUCGCCAUGGAACCACAAGAUCAUGAUAAUCAAGGAGUUGGUAUACCACGGAACAUUGGUGAUGGUGAUGCACCACGCAACCAUCAACAGAGACAGGGCAUCGUUCCACCUCCUGUCCAGAACAACAAUUUCGAGAUCAAGAGUGGAUUGAUCUCAAUGAUUCAAGGUAACAAGUUUCAUGGGUUGCCUCUGGAAGACCCCUUGGAUCACUUGGAUAACUUUGAUAGGCUCUGCAGCCUCACCAAGAUCAAUGGUGUUAGUGAAGACAGCUUCAAGCUACGUCUGUUUCCCUUCUCGCUGGGCGACAAAGCACACCACUGGGAGAAGACACUACCUGCUGGCUCCAUCACAUCUUGGGAUGAUUGCAAGAAGGCAUUCUUAACAAAGUUCUUCUCCAAUUCCCGGACUGCACGUCUACGAAAUGAAAUCUCCAGUUUUACACAGAAGCAGUCUGAAUCCAUUUGUGAAGCAUGGGAGAGAUUCAAAGGCUACACUAUACAGUGUCCACACCAUGGUUUCAAGAAGGCUUCACUACUCAGCACACUCUACAGGGGAGUUUUGCCCAAGAUCAGAAUGUUGCUAGACACUGCCUCUAAUGGGAAUUUCUUGAAUAAGGAUGUUGAGGAAGGCUGGGAAUUGAUAGAGAACUUAGCUCUAUCUGAUGGUAACUAUAACGAGGAUUUUGAUCGCUCCAACAGAAGCAUUGGAGAUCCGGAUGCAAAGCAUACUAAAGAGAUGGUAAAGGCUCUCAAUGACAAGCUGGAUCAAUUUCUGCUUACUAACCAGAAACCAGUACACUAUAUCACUGAAGAAGAGUACUAUCAAAUCCAAGAGGGGGAGAACACUCAGGCUGCAGAAGUCAGUUAUGUUCAGAACCAAGGUGGCUACAACAAGGGCUACAACCCCUAUAAGCCUGCUCAUCCUAAUCUCUCUUACCGGAGCACGAAUGUUGCAAACCCUCAAGAUCAGGUUUACCCUCAGCCACAACAGAACCAGUCCAAGCCAUUCAUACCGUACAAUCAAGGCUUUGUCCCAAAGCAGCAGUUUAGUGGCGGUUAUCAACAAUAUAAUCCACCACCCGGUUUUGCACCGCAACCCCAGCCAGCUCCACCCGCCCAAGAUCAAGACAUGAAGCAAAUGCUUCAGCAGCUUCUACACGGCCAAGUAGCUGGUGAUAAGAAGCUGGCUGAGCUUCAAAUCAAGAUUGAGGCUCUAAACUCCAAGGUGAAGUACAUGGAAAGCCAAGCUGCUUCUACUUCUGCACCUACACACCCCGGACAACUACCAGGGAAAGCUAUUCAGAAUCCGAAAGAGUAUGCUCAUGCUAUUCAACUCCGCAGUGGUCGAGAGCUGCGUGCUCGACCUAACCAAGCUCCUGUCACUGAGGACAGUGAGAUUCAAGAUGGGGAGGAUUCUCUUCAGAAUGAGACUCAAGUAGAAGACACCACUAAGCUUGACCAAGAUGCUGUACCUAGGGAUCAAGUUAAGAGCCCCCAGAUCAAAGAAACUGUUGUUGAUAAGAGUAAGAAGAAAGCUUUCGUUCCACCACCCUACAAGCCCAAAAUACCAUUCCCAGGAAGAUUCAAGAGGGAUAUCAUUGAGAAGUACAGAGCCAUGUUUGCUAAACACAUCAAGGAGAUUGAAUUGAGGAUGCCUCUCAUUGAUGCUUUCAUGCUGAUUCCGGAUUCUCACAAAUACUUGAAGGACAUGAUAAUGGAGAGAAUUCAGGAAGUACAAGGAAUGGUAGUGUUGAGCCAUGAAUGCAGUGCUAUCAUACAGAAGAAGAUUAUACCGAAGAAGCUUGGGGAUCCCGGCUCAUUUACUCUACCUUGUUCACUAGGCCCUUUGUUCUUCAACAAAUGCCUAUGUGAUCUAGGUGCAUCAGUCAGUUUGAUGCCACUCUCAGUAGCAAGAAGACUCGGGUUCAUCAAGUACAAGUCUUGCCAAAUCCAACUAAUCUUAGCCGACAGAUCCGUACGAGUCCCUCAUGGUAUGUUAGAGGAUCUACCAGUCAGAAUAGGAAAGGUAGAGAUUCCUACAGACUUCGUUGUUUUAGAAAUGGAUGAAGAGCCAAAGGACCCUCUCAUACUAGGGAGACCUUUCUUAGCUACUGCUGGAGCUCUCAUUGAUGUCAGAAGAGGUAAGAUCGACUUGAACCUCGGUGAAGAUUUCAAGAUGACAUUCGACAUCACUAAGACGAUGAAGAAACCUACUAUUGAUGGACAAGUGUUCUACAUAGAAGAAAUGGAUCGUUUAGCUGACGAACUACUUGAAGAGCUUACUGAAGAAGACUACCUACAGAGUGCUCUUACCAAAGACGGGGAAGAGGGGUUCUUACACUUAGAGACAUUGGGGUAUAAGAAGCUGCUAGACUCCCAUAAGGAAGAGGAAUCAUCAGAAUACUUUGAGAAGUUAGAGGUGCCAGUAGCAGAAGUCAGUACAGUGGAAGAAGACAUUUCAGAACAGUCUCGACCUACCUGCUCGACCACACGUCGAGUAGGCCUUCCCAGCCCAAUUCCUGAAGAAGUCAAGGAAGCAGACUCGACCUGCAAGCUCGACGACACGUCGAGAUGGCCUUCUCCUACCUCAGAUGACUGGUCUGAGCUCAAUGCACCUAAGGUAGACCUCAAACCACUUCCGCAAGGGCUAAGGUACGCAUUUCUUGGAACAAACUCUACUUACCCUGUGAUCAUUAAUGCUGCAUUGAAUGAUGAUGAAGUGGAUUUGCUGUUGUCUGAACUUAAAAAGUAUAGAAGAGCAAUUGGUUAUUCAUUGUCUGAUAUAAAGGGAAUCUCACCUAGUUUGUGCAUGCAUAGAAUCCAUCUCGAAAAUGAAUCUCAUUCUAGCAUUGAACCUCAAAGGAGAUUGAAUCCUAAUCUGAAAGAAGUAGUUAAAAAGGAGAUACUUAAACUAUUGGAAGCGGGUGUAAUCUACCCUAUUUCAGAUAGCACUUGGGUAUCUCCGGUUCAUUGUGUGCCUAAGAAAGGAGGUAUGACUGUUAUAAAGAAUGAUAAAGAUGAAUUAAUCCCUACAAGAACUAUAACAGGACAUAGAAUGUGCAUUGAUUAUCGAAAGCUGAAUGCUGCAUCUAGAAAAGAUCAUUUUCCUUUACCAUUCAUUGAUCAAAUGCUUGAAAGGUUAGCUAAUCACCAGUACUACUGUUUUCUUGAUGGAUAUAGUGGUUUCUUUCAAAUACCAAUUCACCCUAAUGAUCAAGAGAAAACCACUUUUACUUGCCCUUAUGGAACCUUUGCUUAUAGAAGAAUGCCUUUCGGAUUGUGUAAUGCACCUGCUACUUUUCAGAGGUGUAUGACUUCAAUAUUCUCGGAUUUAAUUGAGGAGACAGUGGAAGUCUUUAUGGACGAUUUCUCUGUCUAUGGCUCCUCUUUCUCCUCUUGUUUGUUAAAUCUAUGCAGGGUUCUAACAAGGUGUGAGGAGACCAAUCUAGUGCUGAACUGGGAGAAGUGUCACUUCAUGGUCAGAGAGGGUAUAGUAUUGGGACACAAGAUAUCAGAGAAAGGGAUUGAGGUUGAUAAGGCCAAGAUAGACGUCAUGGUGCAGUUGCAGUCUCCAAAAAGCGUGAAGGAUAUCAGAAGUUUUCUGGGUCAUGCCGGUUUUUACAGGAGAUUCAUCAAGGAUUUCUCAAAGUUUGCUAGACCACUUACUCGACUUCUCUGUAAGGAGACCGAAUUCAUCUUUGAUGAAGAGUGUAUGAGAGCUUUCAACUUGAUUAAAGAAGCUCUAGUGUCUGCUCCAAUCGUCCAAGCACCAAACUGGGAUCAUCCUUUUGAAAUCAUGUGUGAUGCUUCAGACUACGCGGUUGGGGCUGUGCUGGGUCAGAAGAUAGAUAAGAAGCUCCAUGUUAUCUAUUAUGCAAGCAGAACCUUGGAUGAUGCUCAAGUGAGAUAUGCUACAACAGAGAAAGAGUUGCUGGCUGUAGUCUUUGCAUUUGAGAAGUUUAGAAGCUAUUUGGUUGGAUCUAAGGUUACUGUCUAUACAGAUCAUGCAGCUUUGAGGCACAUCUAUGCUAAGAAGGACACCAAGCCUAGACUGCUGAGAUGGAUUUUGUUACUUCAAGAGUUUGAUAUGGAGAUUGUUGAUAAGAAGGGUAUAGAGAACGGAGUAGCUGAUCACUUGUCCAGAAUGCGGAUUGAAGAUGAAAUCCCUAUAAAUGAUUCAAUGCCUGAAGAGCAGCUGUUAGCCGUCAAGUGCUAUAAAAUGGUGUACAACAAGAAGGAAUUCGAUGAAGCAUUGGCUGUAGAAGAAGAGAAAUUUCCAUGGUAUGCUGACUUUGUGAACUACUUGAUCUGCGGAGAAAUCCCCAAAUACCUUGAUGCUUACCAGAAGAAGAAGUUCUUUAGAGACAUCAACCACUACUACUGGGAUGAACCUUAUUUGUAUAAGAAGGGUACUGAUGGCCUAUUUAGAAGGUGUAUUGCUGAAGAGGAAGUUCAGGGAGUGCUGGAACACUGUCAUGGUUCUGCUUAUGGCGGUCACUUUGCUACCUUCAAGACAGUACAGAAGGUUCUCCAGGCCGGCCUUUGGUGGCCUUCCAUGUUUAAAGAUGCACAUGGAUUCAUUGCUAAAUGUGAUCCCUGCCAGAGAAUGGGGAACAUAACUAGGAGGAACGAAAUGCCACAGACCCCGAUCCUGGAAGUUGAAGUCUUCGACGUUUGGGGAAUUGAUUUCAUGGGACCAUUUAAUCCUGCUUCCUAUGGUAAUAAGUACAUCCUAGUUGCUGUGGACUACGUCUCCAAAUGGGUUGAGGCCAUUGCAUCUCCAACCAAUGAUCAUAAAGUGGUCUUAAAGCUGUUCAAGAGCAUCAUAUUCCCCAGAUUUGGUAUCCCUAAGGCUGUGAUCAGUGAUGGAGGUUCUCAUUUCAUCAACAAGGUCUUUGAGAGUCUGUUAAAGAAGCACGGUGUGAAGCACAAGGUAGCUACUCCUUAUCACCCUCAGACUAGCGGGCAAGUAGAAGUAUCCAACCGACAGAUCAAAGCCAUACUUGCUAGAGUUGUCGGUGUUUCAAAGAGAGACUGGUCUACCAAGUUAGAUGAUACACUUUGGGCUUACCGGACUGCAUACAAGACGCCGAUAGGAAGGACGCCAUUUCAGAUGCUGUAUGGGAAGUCAUGUCAUCUUCCAGUUGAGGUAGAGUACAAAGCAAUCUGGGCUACUAAGUUGCUGAACUUGGAUAUCAAAGAAGCUCAAGAGAAGAGAUCUGUUGACUUGCACGAACUUGAGGAAAUAAGGCUUGAAGCUUAUGAGAGUUCAAAGGUGUACAAGGAAAGAACAAAAGCUUUCCAUGACAAGAAGAUUUCACCAAAGGACUUCAAGGCUGGAGACCAAGUGUUACUAUUCAACUCCAGACUCAAGCUCUUUCCCGGAAAGCUCAAGUCUAGGUGGUCAGGUCCUUUCACUAUCAAAGAGGUUCUACCAUUUGGUGCGGUAUCGCUAUUUACUAAGGACGGGUCAGAGUUUAAGGUGAAUGGUCAGCGGCUUAAGAAGUAUCUCGCAGAUAGCGUCAUUCCUGAAGGAUCUACGGUUCAUCUUCAGGAACCUCAACUCGCCUAAAAGAGUAGUAAAGUCAAGCUAAAGACUUUAAACAAGCUCACUUGGGAGGAAGUCCCAUGUCUAUCCUUGUAAAUAUUAGUUAUUUCCUUGUUAUUUUUGAUGUUUUUGCUUAAGUGUCUCAGGAUAAAGCGUUUUAAGGAAGCCAAGGCGCAAAACAGAAUGGGUGGCCUUGUCUCGACCUGCCCUACUCGACUACAAGUCGAGCUUGCCCCUUGGUGUCACUCCAAACCAAUACCGAAGCCCUACUCGACGUACUAGCUCGACCAGACGUCGAGUUAGCCCAUGAAGCCCAUAAGUACCAGGUCAAUCACCUCCUUUUUCACCCAUCCAUGAGGUAACAACUCCAAUUCACCAUUGUAUAUACCACAUUUCAUUUUGUUUCUCUGUUGGUUUGCCCUGAGUACUCUCUUCCAAAUGCUUGUUACACAGAGGACUGUGUAAUUUAAGUUUGGGGGAGGGCUCAGGGAGUAUUUGACAUUGUGUUUUGUUUUCUUAUUUCAAAUUUUGCAUCAUUGCAUCUAAGGCAUAGAAAAACCAUAAAAAUUUGAAAUUUUUCGAAAAUGAUUUCACAAAAACAGAGUGUUCAUAUAGCUUGCAUUGUCAUUUUAGGAUUGUUUUAGUAUGCUUUCACUUAGGGCUGUUGCAUCAUGCAUUUGCAUUGGAGAUUAUGAUGAUUAUAACCUUGUAAAUAUGCCUAUCCACUAAGUAGAACUCAGUGCCCUGGUUGUUAGUUCUCUAAUGCAUAAUCGACUGAACUUGAAGUAAGACCGCACCAUCUUUUGAAUUCAACGCUUAACUUUCUUGUUUUUAGUCGAAUCUCGCUUUGAUCUGAUGCCAUUCCCUAUCUAUUUGAACUUGAAUUUUGACUUAUAAUUAUCAUGCUGUGCAUUGUGCUAUGAACUCAUGGAUACCUUAAAAUACUUGGACUUUCUUUUACCUUUUGAUCACUCUUGCUAGUCCAAGUAGCUGACUCCCAUCUUUGGAGCAGUUAUUCCCCACCCUUAGCCUUAACCUUCUUUCAAGCCAUUUAUCAUUUGUGUGUGAAUGUGAGGCCUUAUUCCGAUUGAGCUUGGUAGAAAGUGUUAGGUCUGUAACGACAAGGAUAGUAUCUCAUGUAGUUCUGGUUCACGUUAUCUGGACCAGAUAGGACUAGGUGGGUGCUUAAUUCUGGGUUUGGGUUGUGUUUAAAAGAAAGAAAAGGUUGUGUUCAUCAUUGAAAGAAAAGAAAAGGGAAAAGAGUCCUAAGGAGAAGUAGCUAAAGUAAGAGAAGUCUAGUAAAGGAUUUGGGUGUGCUAUAAAGUAAAGGAAAAAAGGGGUUCUGUAAAUAGCUUAAAGAGUUUGGGCAAAAGCCUUGUGUUUAUAGGAAGAAAGAAAAGGGAACCCUAGUUGUUAAAGAAACCUGAUCCGCUAGACAGAGCAGUAAGAAUGCAAAAGGGUAGAGUUAAGUUCAUGAUUCUGGGAUUAGAAAUAGGACCUCUAUUUGGGUUGAUAUUGAUUACAUUCUGGGUAGAUGGGGUCUUAUCCUUGUAUGCAUAACUUGAUACUCACCUUUAGCAUUCUACUAAAGCUCAAUCAUUCUUGAGAGAUCCCCUGUUACGAUUUAAGCCUGAUCUUUAAGGGACCAUCUUUGUCUCUAAAACCUUUACCCUUUAGCCAAAUGUGUUCAUAUCCAUUGCAUAGUAUGAUUCAUGGUUCCAACUUAAUGAAUGUUAAAGGGAAUGUGCAGAUUUGAAUGCUUGAUUUGAUUAAGGCAGAGGUUAGGUUGAGAUGUGAAGGAGAUGGCUAAUGUUUUUAAGUAGGGAUCAGUCAACCUUGCAUUCUAGAAUUAGCAACCUGGACAUUGAAUUCACUUACUCUAUAUGCAUGUUUUGGUUCUGAGUCUCCACCUUCAAACCUCUUCUCCAGCUUGGUUCUAUCUGUUUGCUUGAGGGCAAGCAAGAGCUAAGUUUGGGGGAGUUGAUAUCUCUGUAUUUUACCUCUUUUUAGCACACAUUUCUUAUGCAUUUAGCUUAGUUUCCUCUCUGUUUCACUGCAUUAAUAUUCCUUUUUCAUAAGAUUUUCAUCACUUAGUACGAUUUGCAUUGCAUGGCAUAGCAUGUUGCAUAUUGGAUGAGUUUUAGGUACUUUGGAGCUUAUUUGGGACUUAAUGGAGCAAGGAGGAACCAACACGACCUUGGAGCUAGACUUGGGAUCGAAUUGGAGAAGAAUGAAGUCGUUCAAGAUCACCUGGGAGCAGUCUCGACGUGCAGACUCGACGUCACGUCGAGAUGGACACCAAGAAGCAGCCUGGGAGCAGUCUCGACGUGCAGACUCGACGUCACGUCGAGAUGGACACCAAGAAGCAGCCUGGGAGCAGACUCGACCAGACAGGCUCGACGUCACGUCGAGAUGGACAUCAAGGCGCCACCUUUGAGAAUCACUUGGUCUCGACGUGGCAGGCUCGACGACACGUCGAGUUGGCCUCCACCGACUCUCUAUUUUGUCCUGUAGCCAAUUAGGGCAACCUAGUAUUUCCUAUAAAUAGGGGUACAUGCUAUUGUCCAAAGGAUAUCCCUUUUACCCAGCAGAUAUUCUUCUUUUCUCUCAUAAACCCUAGUUUUUGUAAUCGUUUUUCCUGUUGAUCCUUUGAGUUUUUGGAUUUCGUUUCUUCAUCAACGUUGUAGAUCUGCCUCUUAUCUAUAACAUACUUGCUUUUUAAUGAUUUCUGGGUUUGAAACGUUUUCUGGGUUUUUAUGCAUGAUGUUCUUCAGUGUUCUUGAGUAGUGGAUUAGGGUUUUUGAGGAUGGGAUAGAUUAGGUGUGGAAUCCUUAGUAUAUUUAGGUGGUUAAGUGUAGAAUUGCUUGAUUUCCCUUCUGGUUUAGUAGAUCUUAAUGCUACUUCCUCUCUGAUCAAUUGGAAGUUGAUCUCAGACAUUUCCACACCCAAAAGGUGUUUGAUGAAAUGUCUGAACCAACUAUUCCAGAGAUUUGCAUACUCUAGCCCAAGAGAUUGGAUGUUUAGAAUGCUUAUUGACUCUAUUAGAUUGAAUCUUAAUGCCUGCUAGAUUAUAUUUCUUCAAUGAGAAUUGAGUAUGAAAGUGAUUUAGCUUGAGAAUCUCUGUCACGAGAGUGGAUUGAUUUGUAUUCGAAUCUAUUGUCUAGGGAUAGCUUGAUUGAGUUUGUUAACCACCUAGGUAGACUAAGGAGACUGCCAUAAUCGAUUACCCCAUUCCUCAAGACCCUUUAUCUCUAUUGAUUGUUUAAAUCUUGUUUCUGUUAGUCUCUGUUGACCAUCUCGACCUGUUAGGCCUAGAUCGUUUCUCUGCAUUGUUAGGUUGCUAGUUUCUUUUCCAAAGCUUAUGCAUGAUAGUUUCUGGUCUUUAGUUUACUUCUUGCUCUUGUUUACUUGCUGUUUAGUUCUCUUUUAUUGCUUUUAAAUUCGGUAUUUGCAUGUUAAAUUGGUUGCUUAGGAUCAAUAGAAACACACAAAACCCUUUCACAAUUGGCUUGACUUAUUUGCUUUCUGUUUCAUAUCUUGAAUGCUUGCAGUCACACUGAGAUUGGAUUGAUAACCUAAUAUACUACAAUGGCAUGUGUAUUAGGGAUUGAUACAUGUUAGAGAUAGACAAAAUCUGACUAUCAAUAUUCUCUAUAAAUCUCUUUGAUUAAGUAAUAAGAAACAUUAUUUAUAAAUUUGACCAUUAGCUAUGUUACUUUCAUCUUCAUGAGUUGUUUUCACUAUGUGCAUGUCUCCUUUGGUCAUUGAUUCAUAUGUGUGUUUUGGCCACAGUUCCGUCUAUUCAAUUGCGGUUUUCUUGGUCUAGGUAUUUCAAUAUCAGGAAGCCAAAAGAAAAGAGCUUCCUUUUAGAGCAAGCACUUCCUAUAUUUCAUCUCUUUGUCUUUUAAACUCCUUAUUGUAUUUUGUGUUUUUCAGGAAGACGUCGACAUCUGAUGAACCUAAGCCAAAGAGACUUAGAAAGGCCAAGGAUACGAAGACGAGCUCUUCUAUCUUAAACAUGCCCUAACAACCUCUUACGGCUUCUUUAUCUUCAUGUAAUGUUCAUCGUUUCACACUUACUUUUGUUGAUAGUUGUUUACUCUUUAGGGAUGUUGCUGAUGUUGCCUUUCACUUUGCAGGAAUGAAUUCUGUCAUUCUUUUAGACGAGAGCAUCUAAGUUCUCUCAUUAAGGAUGUAAGACUUUAACUGUGCUCAUUGCUAUGCUUAACUCCUACGUUUAGUGUUUAUGAGAUUUUACCUAACUGUGCUAUUUAUAUAUGAUUGUAGGUUUCAAAGAUCGGUGGUGAAAAGUGGAAUUCUAUGACUGGGGAAUUGAGUUGCUUUAUUAUCUUGUUUAUUCUUUAGUUUCAUGGUGAUUUGUUUACUCUUUGUACUUUGAGAUAUUAGUACUCUUGUUGUGUAUAAGAGUAGUAGUUGAAUUUUUGUAUAAGACUUGUUAUAUAUGUUUUUAAUAAUUUAUGUAAUAAAAAUAAAUUAUAUAAAUUCAAUUAAAUAAAUCUUGCAAAAUAGGGUUCAAAUAUACAAUUAUAUAUAAAUUAAAUUAAAUUUGUAUAGCGAAACAAAUAUGCUAUAAUACUAUAUAAAACAGCACUAAACGUGUGUUACAAUAAAGUAUAUUAGAGCAUUCGAUUAGUGCUAUAAUAAAUCGACAUUUAAUAACAUAUCGAAAAACGCUAUCGUAUAUAGGGGGUCUACCAUAACAGGGGCAUAAAACAGCGUUUAUGAAAACGCCAUUAAUGACGUAUUAUAGCUUUUUUCUCAUGCUAACAAUGUAGAUAUUUCUUGUAGUGUCAUAAACUACUUUUUUUUUUUUACACAGCAAAGUGGUGUUGACAUGCGAGGCUUUAGGGCAGACCGCUAUAGAUUUUGAAGAAAACUAUCGCCAAUAUGGUUGUAUCAAUAUGAUUGUUGCACUAGGUUGGUGGAGGGUUGUGAGGCCAAAUAGGAGGGCUAAUAAUGUGAAGAUUGUGAGUCAUGGAUCAAUAUCAAAAAAUUUUCCCGAACCACACAUAGAAGAAGUUGAAGAAAUCAAAAUGAUGAUUGAUUAAUGGGAGAGAGAAGAAGUUGAAGAAAUCAAAAACUCUUAUUUUUUAUUUAAUUAUUGAUUAAAUUUUAUGUAAUAUUUCUCGAAUAUUUCUCGAAUAGCUAUUACCGUAAAAAUUUAUUUUGUGUUUUGACCAUCCAAUAGUUAUGGAUGAUUCUCAUAUUUUAAGAAGCUAUUCUUAUACCACAUAUUUUAAUUAAAUUUAGGAUAUCCAUCGACAAGUAUCCACCAAAAAUCAUACAUAAACCCUAUACUCUAAACCCUAACCAAUACAUCUUUAAAUAAUAUUCCUAAACCCUAACUAUAAUUUGAUUCUCGUUAGUGUAUUUUUCAUCAUUGUUUCUUGUGGUUUGGUAAAGUUUUUUAGAAGGAAAUUUAUUUAAUAAUUAAUAAAAAUAUUAAGAGUGUUAGUGUUAUGGUGGCAUGCCCUAGACUAAAUUGAAAAAUACAGUAGAGAAGUUGAUGUAGGCUUAGGUGUAAUGAUUCCAGAGUAGCACGGGUGUAGCAAAUCGAAAACUAUAAUGGUAAUAUAUUGGGUAGGAGAAACUACCGCCAAAAAAGUUAAAAUACCAUGGGUUGUGGUUGAAUCGAUAUCCACAUGGAUUGUACUUAUUUCUAUUUGUUUAUUCUAUUCCUUAAUAUUCGAGAAUUGCGCAGCUCAAAGAUUUUAAGAAUCUGACGCAGGCUAUACUGUUCAAAGGGUAGGUAACAUCGUUGUCAUGUCUCAUAAAUGUAGAAAUGUAAUAUGAAUAAUUAUUUAAUUUUUUCAUAAAUAUCUUUAAACAAUUAUUAUUCGUCAUAGCAUGUCCAUCUUACGUCAAUCCACGACUUUUAAUCCAAUGAAAAUAAAAUGAAUUUUGGAAAAUUAACAAAGCUUACACCGUAGAAUAUCGGGAGGGAGUUUUCCCGCCAAAACAAUAGAAACACCAAGGGGAGGGAUAAAUAGAAUAUCCACGUGGAUUGAAUUUAGUUAUUAUUGUUGAGUAUAUAAGUUAACUUAAAAAGAUAUUAAGGAUUUGACGCAAAAUAUGUAUUGGUAACACAUACCAAGGAAGUGAAAAGUAAAAAGAUUUUCAUCGUUGUCAAAUCUAUGAAUUGAAAACAAAUUUUUAUCAAUCACUAAUAUUUCUAAAACAUUUUACUCACCAUUUUUACCAUGAUUUUAAAGCAACGAUUAAUUAUUGUUUUUUUAUGAAGUCAUCAACCCGUUUAUACUCAGCAUAUAUAUCAAUUCAUCUCGUAUCCACAACAUUAUAUCCAUGUAUAUAUAUAUAUAUAUAUAUAUAUACAUAUAUAUAUAUGGUAAUCCAAUGAAUAUAUUAUCAAAGCGGGGAAUUAGCUAGCAACACGAGUUUAGGUUAAACAUGGGUGACUCUAUAAAUAGGACAUAAACCAUAACACAACCUAUCCAAAGUGAAAUUUGUUUUGUAAUUCUGAUUAUGAUUGGAGAUUCACAAGAAAGCUUAACUAUGAGUGGUGUUCUCGAAAGCAAUGAAGAGAGCGAGGGUUCAAAUGUCAUUGAGGUUGUUGUAAUGUGUUUUUAGAAUAAUGCUUAUGUAAGAAUGAUAGUUUAAAAAUCUGUUUUAAUUUUGUAGGAGAUUCCAAUGAGGGAAUUUCACAUUCCUCAGCCGUUAAUGGAAAUAAUCGUGAGUAAGGUUGGUGAAGAUGGUGUUGAUGCGUUGAAGAACUUGUUGCUCGCUGGGAGAGAGGGGAAGGAUGUUGUUCUGUCGAAAAAAACCUUAGCAUCUGUUCGCAUCGACAUGGACAAUCAUUUCAUGUGGUGGUCAAUGCCACAUUCAAAGUACUACACUUUCUUCCAAAAGUGUCUUGCCGCGAAUAAUCCAUAUGCGAAGUUUGUAGAGAAGAACAAAGGAGUGGCUUAUGAGUCGACGAUAGGGUAUUUUCAAAUGAGAUGCCGUUGGAAGGUCUGCCGCAAUAAACGCUGCGGGGGUUUGAUGAACCUGGAUGACAUGAAAAAGUGCGUGGUGCAGCCACCUUUUAAGCGGGAAAGAACUGGGAGGCCAAGGUGCCGUAUGUGCAACAAAGCUGGGCACAGGUGUAUGGAUUAAGGAUUGUAGGAUGUUGCCGGGAUUAUGGGGAAGAGUUCAUGAAUAUUAUGAUCUAUUUUUUUUUGGAAUGUUAUUUGGUUAUAAUCCAAUAUAUAAGCGGGAUGUUGUUUUUGGUUACCUAUUAGUUUAAAGUUGAACGGGAAUGUAAAACUUUUAAGAUUGUUGGGAUGUUUUUGUUAAUUUUGAUGUAAGAACAUUGUUUUGCUGUCCAUGUAAUGUUAUCCAUUUAAUAGUUAAUUUUCUAUUUGAAUUUUGUUUGACUCCUUUUUAUAUUAUAUUUGGUUAUUGUAAUAUAUUAUAAUCAAUUAGAUAUUAUCCAUAUAAUCAUAAAUUAAAAAUUUAAAACGUUUAAAUAAAAUUUAGAAAAACUAUUUCCACCUCUGUCAAACCUUUUAAUAUCAACGGGGAUUUAGUAAGGUAAGAGCGGAAAAAUUCACGCCAAAACAAUAUCCACGUGGAUUGCAUUUGGGGUAUUUUUGUUGAUUAUAUUGGGAAAUAUUUUAAAGUGUCAAAUUUAAAAUAUUUAAAAAAGAAUAUGACCUCGUUGUCAUGUCUCAUAAAGUAAAACAAAUUUUUAGGAACAAUUUAAAUUUAUAAAUUAUAUUUAUAGAAUUAGAAGCCAAAUUUCAAACCAACGUCGUAAACAAAGAAAUGGUUUUUAUGAAGUAGUAAAUCCAUAUCCAUUGCCACAACCCGUGUAGCAACUCGUAACCACAAUAUUAAAUCCAUGUGUAAAGAUAUUGAUAUUUUAAGAGAACUCAUAUUUUAAUCCAAUAGAAAUAAAAUAAAUUAAGCGAAUUAGCCACCAUUAUGAGGUAAGGUUAAACAUAUAGGUUUAAUAAAGUCUAUAAAUAGGAUAUAAACCGAAACACAACCUAAUCCAAAUAUCAGAAAUUUGCAUUUCUUGUUAAAAUGGGCGAUUUACAAGAAAGCUUAACGAUGGGAGGUGUACUCCAAAGCUAUGAGGAGAGCGAGGGUUCAAAUGUCAUUGAGGUUGUUGUAAUGUGUUUUUAGAACGAUGCUUAUGUAAGAAUGAUAGUUUAAGAAUCUGUUUUAAUUUUGUAGGAGAUUCCAAGGAUGGAAUUUCACAUUCCUCAGCCGUUAAUGGAGAUCAUUGUAAGUAAGGUUGGUGAAGAUGGUGUUGAUGCGUUGAAGAACUUGUUGCUCGCUGGGAGAGAGAGGAAGGAUGUUGUUCUGUCGAAGAAAACCUUAGCAUCCGUUCGCAUCGAUAUGGACCAUCAUUUCAUGUGGUGGUCAAUGCCACAUUCAAAGUACUACACUUUCUACCAAAAGUAUCUUGCUGCGAAUAAUCCGUAUGCAUAGUUUGUAGAGAAGCACAAAGCACUGUGUUAUGAGUCGACGAUAGGGUACUUUCAGAUGAGAUGCCGUUGGAAUGUCACACAUGAUAAACGCAUGGUGGAUGACAUGAAUGUGUGCGUGGUGCAGCCACCUUUUCAGCCCGGAAGGGUCGGGAGGCCAAGGUGCCCUAGGUGCAAGAGAGUUGGGCACAGAUUCAACAGGUGUGUCGAUUAAGUUAUGGAGGAUGUAAGCGGGAUGUUGGUGUAGAGUUCAUGAAAGUAUGAGCAAUGUUUUUUGAUAAGUUAUUUGGUUAUAAUCCAAGAUGUAAGCGGGAUGUUGUUUUUAGUUACCUAAUACCUUUAAGUUGCAGGGGAAUGUAUAACAUUUAGGAACUUUGUUUGUGUCCAUUUAAUGUUAUCCAUAUAUUUCUUAAAGUUCAAUGUCCGGCAAAUUAAAUAUGGAAUGAGAUAUUUUCUUUCGUCCAUCUAUUGUUAUCCAUAUAAACGUUAUUGUGCAAUGUCAAACCUUUAUAAAGUUUGUAAAUAUUUUGGUCAAAUUUAAGCAAAGAAUUCUAGUUUAUGGCCAUGGGUUAUUAUCCAUAUAAUAGUAAUAAAAUAUGUAAAAGCCCCGAGAAAAUGUCGUUUUGAUUGGUUUGGAAGCAUGGUUGAAAAAAUUAUAGCCUGCCCAUAGGAAUAAUAGGUUAAAAGUAUCUCGUCCACAAACGAGCAUCAGACGUAGCAAAAGGUAUUGAUGUGGAGUGUCACUCUUCAAGCAUUACACAACAGAUAAUUCAAUGUAAAAGGUGUCAGUAUUGGCUAACGAGAUGUAUGUGGCCUAAAGCGUAGGAAUAGGUUAUAGGUACAUAAAUUAAUGUUUUUAUAAUUAUGGCUGAGUUGACAAUUAGAAAGUUUAAAUAUAUUUAAUUGAAUUGAUGGCGUAAACGAAAGCUAUUUAGCUUUUAUUUUUUUUUUUCAAGAAAUGGGACUGAAAAAGUGAAGUUGGGUUGAAUAGAGUAAUUAUAGUUAACCGAGGAAACGGUGGAAACUACAACUAUAAUGGAUGAUCCUUUAUAGAUUGGGAAUAGAAUCUGUCAAUUAAAAUGCAACAUUACAUAUAUCAUCACACAACAACUACUAUGAAAAUAGUUUUCCAAGUCCUAAAAAAUUAAAAAGGAAAAAAAUAAAACAAUGAACACAGCGAAAACAACAAUGUUUUUCAUACAUCUAAGUUGCGUUUUCAAGUCUUCAAUAUCUUUCUGAAGAACAGAAUCACAGGCCCGCGUCUCUCUGACAAAGUGUUUAUGUCGGAAUCACAAAUAUUUAACCCUUUUUGCAAUGUGAGUGUAGCACCCUCAAUGUUAUCCACUUUCUUAAUCAACUCCUCAAUCUCUUCUACCAUACAUGUAUCCGUCCAUUUGAACAAAUGGUUCCUAUUCUCCUGUGUAAUCGGAAAUUAUUUCUGAUAUAAAUGUAGCAAAAAUAAUAUAAGAUAGUUGAUUUACUUACAGGGGAUCCCAGAGGACAUGCAUGAAACAAGCGACCAGAGUUUCUUGGAGUUGCUGAGGUUUUCAUCACAACUUCCUCGCCACAGGGGCAGAGUUUCGGGAUACCUCCAAAUCGAUCUACCAUUUUCUUGUUUGGACCUUUAUGUUGGAGGAGAACAAAAGAAAAUUCUGCUCUUCCGCUUCUUGUAAAGAGUUUUCUCAAACCAAUUUCUUGUUAUGAUGAAAUCCCUAGAUUUAGAAUUUAUUCCUUUCUGACAAUAAAAAAAAAAGAAUUUAUUCCUAAAUUUGAACUACGUCGUUUUGGUGUAAGAUGAGUAUGAGUAGUUCUAAUAUUGUCUUAAAAAAGAAAAAACAAAUUUGCCCAUAAAGCAUUUUGUUACAUUAUCUCAUGUCAUUGUAAGAGUCCAUGAAUACUAAUCUACCAGUAACUGACAUAAUAUAAUUCGUAGUAAUUAGUUGUCAAACAUUAUUUUGAAUACCCAAAGCUGGUAAAUCGGAAGAUGUUAGCCGUGUGGUCUGUACUCAAUGGAUUAUAAAACAGCGUAUCAAUAAAAACAUUCAUUUGAAAGGCAACUGCAGAUAAAAAUGUACAAGUGAUUAUCGAAUGCCUUUAUCGAAUAUCAUUGUAAGAGUCCAUGAAUACAAAUCCACAAUCUACAAAAUGAAAUAACAUUCGUAGUAAUUAAUUGUUUAACAUUUACUUAGUACAAGACGCUGGUAAAUCGGAAUAUAUCAGCCGUGUGGUUAGUAAACAAUGGAUUGCAAGACGUGUAUGAGUAAAAACUAGGGGUGGGCAUUCGGGUAACCAGUUCGGGUUCGGGUAAAACCCGUUCGGGUUCGGGUUGAAUGGGUAAUGAAUUUAUGGUCCAUUCGGGUAUUCCUAUGGUUUCGGUUCCGGUCCGGUUCGGGUACUGUCGGGUUCGGGUCGGUUUGGGUAAUACCCGAAGUUUAAAAUCACUUUACAUACUCAAAGUCUCAAAUGAUCAAAUAAGAGUAAAUUCCAAUCCAAAAUCACAUAAAUCCGAUUAUUCGAAAAUGAAAAACAUAGAACAAGAUAGAACAAGAUCCGGUGAUGCAUAAAUGAUGAGUGAUGACUUUGUUUUGAAUCUUUCUCUCCUGACAAGAAAAAACAAUCAAAUGUUACUUACCUUAAUCACUCAAAAGUCAAAACCAUGAAAGUCAAUGUAAUUACUUACCUUAAUCAUUCAAAACCAUGGAUGUGGAAUUCAGGUUCAAACUCUACAUCACAUUGACAAGUUAAACAGAUUAUAAUCAAACUUUGAAACUGUAAUUGGUAAGAAAAAAACUAAAAGAGAGUUCUAGGAAAAAAAUUACCUCUCAUAAGCUCAUCUUCAUCCACUUGAUCUGCAAGCAGUUCUUUAAUUGUUGACACUCCUCUUUCAUUGAUAUGAAUCUCAGAUUUUAACCAUUGCUCGGUGCACAUCAACACUUCUAUCAUGUAAUGUGUUAAGCAGCUUCUGAAUGGAUCUAACACUCUACCACUAGUGCUAAAUGCAGAUUCUGAUGCCACAGAAGUCACUUGCAUAGCGAAUAUAUCCUUAGCUAUUAGAGACAGAACUGGAAACUUCCCACUGUUGAGCUUCCACCAUGACAAGACAUCAUACUCUAUUCCUUUUAAAAUUUGCGGAGUCUCCACAGCCUCAUUCAAGUAUAAAUCCAACUCAUUAGAUGAUUUAUGAAUACCUGUUUCUUUCACAAUAUCAUCAAAUAAGUUUUCUAUAUCCUCUAAUAUAAGACCAUUACCCACGACUGUUUCAACUUGCUCUUGGGACUGAGAACACGCUCCUUGUGACUGAGAAGAUGCCAUUGAAUUACUGCCUCCAUUUUUAUUCAACAAACUUGCUCUGCAAUACUCAUCAUACAAAUCCUUCAAGAUUUGAAUCACUGAUUCUGAAAGAAGAGUAGCCUCUAUACUACCUGUACCAUACAUCUUAGCAAAACAGAGCUCAGCAAAUUUCAUCUUCUUUCUAGGGUCAAAAACACUAGCAACCAUCACCAACUUAUUCAUUUCAACUUGAGCACCAAACGGAUCCCAAUAUUUCUUCACCUUUCCUAACAUUGCUAAUGCUUUCUUCUUAAGCUUUUCAUCAGACUUUUUCUCUGUGUUUAAGGCAGUUAAGUUUCUAGCAAUGUUGACUAUCUCACUGUAGAGCUUAUGAGAAGUAACAUAAGUUGAACCUGAAAAGCAGCUGCAUCCCAAUCAUCUGCCAUAGGUGGUCCAAUCCUUUUAGUUCCAUCCACCUUUUCCUCAAAGUAGUCAUUGUAGGGUUUAUCCUCAGCCUCCAUUUCCUCAAAAGCAACCCUAAACUGCACAGCUUGCUCUAGCAUGAGAUAAGUAGAGUUCCAUCUGGUCUUCACAUCUAAAGGCAAGCUACCUCUUUUUAUCCUUUUAGCAUCACAACGCAAAUCAAAUGAUUUAAGUCUGUUUGUUGAAGACCUCACAUACUGAACCCCAUUGCGAAUACCAACCACACUACUAUUCACUUCAUGCAUACCUUCCUUUACAACUAAAUUCAGGAUGUGAGCAGCACACCUUAAGUGCAUAUAUUCACCAUUCAGUACCAAUGCAUCAUUUCCAAUCAGCUUCAUUGCUUUCUUGAAUUUAGUCAGUGCAGAGCUAUUAGCUGUAGCGUUAUCCACUGUGAUGCAGAACACCCUCCUUAUACCCCACUCAUCCAAAUAUUCCAGAAGAACCUUGCAAAUUGUUGCACCCUUAUGAUCAGUCACAUGCUUGAAUCCAAUAAUCAUCUUCUUUAACUGCCAAUCAGAGUCAAUAAAAUGAGCUGUUAUUACCAUAUAACUCUCUCCAGUAUUGUUUGAAACCCAUAUGUUUGUAGUCAGUGACAACCUCUGCUUGUUCUUCCCAAGAAUCUUCUUCAUAGCUGCUUUCUUCUUAACAUAAAGCAACACAAUUUCUCUUGCAGCUGUUCUCCGAGAAACUGGUUUACACAGUUGAGCUUUAGAACAGAAAUGUCUCCAAGCCACACUCUCUAUGAAAGAUAAGGGUAAUUCACCUAAAAUCAACAUCUCAAUAGUAGCUUCUCUAAUCACUAAAUCAGAGACCUUAUACACUGUAAGACUACUACCAUCUGCACCAUUACGACGACCUAAAACAGUUUGAGAAUGUUCUUUAUUGGUACUUUCCCAUACCUUGAAUGCUUUGCAGGUCAAUUCAAGAUGCUUCUUCAAGGUAGAGGUGCCAGACUUGGAAGGACAAGCCAACUCUUUCCCACAGUAAUUACAAUUGCACUUGUCUUGAUUCUUUUUCUGUCUGGUGAAGUGAUCCCAAACAUAGGACCGACUAGUUGUCUUCUUUUUCUUCUUAGAACUACUACCUCCGUCACCUUUAUCUCCAGUUUCUCUCUUUUUACGCUUCUCCUUUCUUCCAGAAGUAGGAGUUUGAACCUCAUCUUCAUCAUGUUCACUUAAAUCAACAUCAUCAAAAUCUUCUGGAGUUUGAGUUUCAUUUGACGCCAUCUACAUUAACAAACUUGACAAAAUUAACAACAAAAACUUGACAAAACUUGACUCAAAUCAACAAAAUUGACUCACAUCAGAUAAAAAUUAAAAAUACUAGCUGCAUUCUUCAUAAAUUACAUGUAUUCUGAAACAUUUUUUAUUGCAUAAUAUCAAAUUUAUAUGAUUUACAUAGGUUUUUUUACAGAACAUGAAAGCUUAUGUCUUGCAAUAAGAAAAACUAUCAUAGCUUAUGGCAUGUAAUAAGAAAAGCUAUCAUAGUCUAAAGAUUCAGAGUUCAGACAUUUCAUUGAGAAGAGAGAAACAAAGAGACAAAGACACCAGAAAAAUUCAAGACUUAAACAUCUACACAAAGACAUCGAUGAAUCUUUCAAAAAGCACAAACAUUUGACUGUAUCUUACUAUCUUUCAUGACAUUGACUAAAUUAAAUCGGAACAAGAAUCAUCUAGCCUUUAACAACAAGAACUAGAAUGAUACGGAAUAAAAGCUGCAAUCAACAAGAACUAAAAUCGAAAAUUCGAAACCAUUUCACGACAGAUCUAUUGCUACAACUAUCAAUUGCAAAAUAAAAUCGGCACUAGAAUUGCAAAAGAAAAACUCGAGACCCAGAAUUACAAUUGCAAGAACCCAAGAACUAACCUCUGAAUGAUUUCGCGAUAGAGCUGUUGGUGUUGAGUUGAUCUGAAUAUUCGGUGACGGUAAGGUCGCUGAGAGUGUAGCAACGAGGGUUUCCAGUUUUGAAUUUUGAUAAUGUGACUCAAGAAGAGAUUUUAAUCAAGGAAGCCGAGAUACUAGGGCAGUAGGGGAGAAGGAAACUCAAGCGACGAAACUUAAAAAUUAAAAUCUAGGGUAUAUACAUAUAAGAGUAUAUCUAAUUAUCUAUAUAUAUAUAUAUAUAUAUAUAUAUAUAUAUAUAUAUAUAAAUAUAUGUUUAUUGUUUCGGGUUUAUGGGUACCCGAAAUGGGUAACGGGUAAUACCCGACCCAAACCGAUACCCACGGGUAAACCAAUACUCUACCCAAUGAGGUAAUUUUCUAAUACCCUAACCCGUUCCAACCCGGUUUUUUCGGUUCGGGUAUCGGUUCGGGUAUCGGGUCCGGGUUUUUUGCCCAGGCCUAGUAAAAACAGUCAUUUUAAAAGGCACAUUAAGAUAUAAAAUAGAUCAUGAAACAAAGGAUUAUCCAUAGGAACAAAAGCUAACACAAGUCAUGGAUUUGAAAGACAUAAAAUAGAACAAAGCAAGAUGGGCAAACAUCCAAAGCCCCAUAAUGGACUAAACCACAAUCUGGUAUAACGUUUAAGCCCCUGUACCCUCGGUAAAGAUGCUUUCCUGUUGGACCCAUGUCUGAUAUCUGAGCCAUCACCUGGUCAGCGCAAUUAACAGCUUCUUGGAAAGUUGAAAACUUCUCCAAAUACUUUUUGAGUAUCAUACUUCCUUCACAAGGAUUUCCGCAUAAAGCAUAGAAAAUGCCAAAAGCAAAAUAGGAAUGUAUGUUGUGAAUCGCAGCUUCACCAAGCAUAUCAAGAGAUUGAACAGAAGGGCCAACAAGUGCAGCUAGUCGUAACCCUUCAAUGUAUUUGGCAGUGUUGUUGUUAGAAUGUAGACAUCUAAGCAAAAAUGGGCGGUACGGUGAGCCUUCAAUGCAUAAAGAGGCGACAAAAACAAACUCAUCAAGACAAACCUCCUUUAAUACUUCAGCAGAAAAUACGAUGGCUGACCAUUCAGGGCCAGCCGCGAUGAAUGGACCGAGAUGACGAAAACCAGAAAUACCAAUCCGACGAACUAUGUCUGUAACCAAAGGUAAAAGAAUGUAAGAAGACAUUUAGAAAAAAAAACACAGAACAAUCCUUUAAAUAUAGAUUUUUGGAGAUUUGGGUUUAAUUUGAAGCACUUACUGAAAGAACUGAUAUUUGCCAACAGAAAGCGAUUAAGGAGAUGAAGUCGGAGACCCUAGAUUUAUAAGGAUAUUUCCCAAAUUUAAAACGGCAGCGUUUUAAUAAGUUGUUCAUUGUGGACAGCAUAUUAAAUGAUUAAUCCAUUAUGUACUAUCCACACAAGUAAAUCAGACGACAAAGUGUAAAACUAAGACAAAAAUUCCCCAGUCCAUAGUUCUGCAGAUAAAUUUAGGGUUUAGGAAACAUAAGGUGAUUUAACAUCAAUUGAGCAGUAUGUGGUUUUACUCUUGUUCACCCAUGUGGAAUAUUACUGAAAUGGAAUGUGUCCAUGUAAACAAAUCCACAUGCCAUAUAUUGUAAUAAUAUAUAAGAAAAUAUAACAUAAAAAAGAUAGGGGAGCUAGAUUAAUAGUAGAUGAUAAUGUACAUUUUACAUCAAACAAAUAGAGCUAGCCGAGAAAUAAGUUUGAAAGGAAAAGGAAAGGAGAUAAGAAGCAACAAUGUCUACAACAAAUUAAAUAGAUUAGUAGUUGAGCUACCUAUUUGUAAAGAGGUGCCACAAGUUCUUGAAACAGAUCUAUAGCAUAUUGACCCCUGAAAUCAUCAACAAUUUCAUUUGUUAUAAGAGCCAUUUUCUCUGCAUCUCCACCAUUGACAUAUAUUUCAAUGAACUUCAUUGACACAGGUCCACAGUCCCCACUCCUCUUGUUGACAUAGAUCUCUUUCAUUCUUGUCCAACGGAAAGGAUCCAAGCCAUGUACCUGAGACAGACGUGGCUUGCAAAAUUUGUUAAUUAUAUACGGGAGUUGGAUCACAAUAGGUGCCAUGUACUCAUUGACUUUGUCAUCAUCGUUUAGAGGGUAGUUUGGAUCAAGUAUGUCGACACACCAUGUGCCUAAGUUGAUUGCCAGUCCUACCCAAUGCUUGUUUUUCCAAAUCAUUGGCAUGAAGAUAAGAUCUAUUUCUUCAAACCAUUCUGAUGGAGAUCCAGGAAUAGCCCGCUUGAACUGUUGAUUUCAUUGAACGCGCAACUUUUGUUUUACAGCUAGGAAAGAAGGGUACUUCCCUUGUAGGUAGUUGCCUAGCCACGGUUUGAUAAUUACAGCGCGUUCUUGAGAGAGUGUCAAUAUGUGCCUUUCAUCUAGGAAAGUUCCUAGAACCUCCAUGUGCUGCAAAAUGAUAGAAAUGCGCAAGUGGAAUAACCAUAUUAAACAUUGGGGAAAUAAAAUGUAAUUAAGUAUGGGACAUGUCUUACCAUGGUUGGUUGCCUGAAAUUAGAACAUAAUGUUAGCUGGGCAAGCUGGACUAGGAAUUUGUUGGUUAUCACAAUAUCACAGCGUGUUAGGUGUUGCCUGAAAUUAGAACAUAAUGUUAGAUAGUGGAAAAGGAAACCAAAGUAAAAGGAAAAGGAAUGUCAUUACGUAUGUGGUGCCUUUCGAAGGAUGUCCAUGAACACUUUGAAAAAUGUUUUGUCCAAACGAGGUAACAGGUCAUACUGUUUUGUAGGUGAGUUUCUGGGAAGAUUUAGAACCAACUCAACAAGUUUGGCCUCUUUGUUUGACAAAGUAGUUGGCUUCCGUUCUCUUGCAGGAGAUGAAUCACUGACAUCAACAACAUCUCCACUUUUGACAGCAGAAUCCUGAGAUUUUAUAAGAAAAUAUAAUGAGAAAACCAUAAAUUAAAACUACAGUCAAACGAUCACCAGGGUAUUAUACCUCAUCAUCAUCAUUUUCAAUAUCAUCAUCUUUUUCUUGUUGAGUAUCUGCGGCCAUCUACAUGAUGAAGAAACAAGUGGUAAGAUAAACAAAAUGGGCAUAAAGUUUUAUGUGAAAAUACAAGAUAAAAAUACCUUGGUCACUGGAGAAACUGGGCCUUGAAUGGAGAAGUUGAGAGAGUCUUGGAGAACAGGAGGGUCAAUUUUGGGAGGAUAGAUAGAGGUGGUUUCAAUCUGGUGACAGGUUGUUAGAAGAUUAUUAAAACCAGGUAUCCACAUGGAUACGGAUCGGAUGAACAAGGAAUAAUUAAAAUAACAGUUAGCCAUGUGGACAUCGUAGAUUAAAAUUACCUCCGAGUGUUUUACCAAAACAAAAUUUGUUUCAAUACCAUCAGACUUGAUUCCAUCGGGUAGAUCAUCUUGGGGGGUUAUCUGCAACGUAAUUAAAUUGUUUAACAUUUGCUUUUAUAGAGUGAUGUUAAUUAUUUUGUAAGGUUUAGAAUUUAUAAAUUAAUGUAACUGGAGCAAAGGAAGUUACAAAGUUAAGUAUCGACUUAAUUGACAAACCAUAAAAAAUACAACUAUUCACGUGGACAGCCUCGUUUAAAAUACCUCAGAGUUUUGAAGUUUAUCAGAAUUUGAUACAAUAUCAUCAGAAAUGUUUGCAUCAGGUUGAUCAUCUUGAGGGAUUAUCUGAAUCGUCAUUAAAUUGGUUUAGUAUUGGAAUUUAUGGAAUGAUGUUUGAAACAAAUCUUAAAAAUUGGAGUAUGGUAAAAGGUUACCUUUGAAUCAUCAACAGCAAGAAACUCUUCUUGUGAUGGUAGGGAAUCCACAUCUGCAGCAGCAAUAGUAGGACUUAUAGACUUGCAAAUUGAUUGAACCAAUGUGUCAACGUUAUGCGCGAAGGCCAAGUCUCCAAUGUUGAUCUCCUGGAUCAGAUUGAAAGUGGUAAAAGAUUAACCAGAUGAGUAAAAUACAUUUAUGGGAAACUCAAACGAUUGAUAAACCCCUUAGUGGAAAAGAACCUCAGAUCCAUCAAUAGAAGAGGGUUUCUUUGCAGUAUCAUAAACAGCAGCAAGUUGAGGAGAAGGCAGAGGCUAGGUAUAAAAAUAGUUAAAUAUUUUUAUGUACAGACAAAUAUUCUAAAAAUCUUACCUCGUCUCUAAGUUUAGACUCAGGAUUGAUCAGACUGUGGAGCCUCUGUGCUAUCAGCAGAUAAAUACUUUGAUGGAGAUUCUUUCUGAAAAGAUUAAUAAUCUAAGAAGACAUGAUCCAUUUAGGAAACAAUAGAGUAAAAGAUUCUAAAAUCCCAUUACCAGAUAGUUCUGAGGGGAAGUAACUGAAUCCAUGUUAGUAUUCCCGGAAUUCCCUGCCUGUAUGAUAAAAAUGUGAUAAGUGUAAUACGUUAGGAAAAGUAAGUCAAAUGCGAUGUUUGGAAGCAACAAGAGUAGCAGGUUGUCCUGACACCAUCAACAAGAAUUGACCUGUUGAGAAGUUAUUCGACGCCAUGUCAUAUCAUCAACAAGCAUAGCAGGUUCUCCUGACACUGCAUUGUCUUCCUCAUGCAUUGAAGUUAAUGGACUUGAAGGGGGAGUUCGGAUGUUUUGAGAAUCUACAGCAGCCUUCACAGGAGAUUCAGACAGAAUGGGGUGUUUAGCUGCUUUAUGUACUUUUCUGGAUGGAGGACAAGUUGACUGUCUAGAGCGAGAGAAUUUGUGAUAUUGAAAUUUUGGCAUCUUCAGAGAUCUCAGGGCCUUAAUCUUUUUCAGAAGAUUCACAUUCUGAGCUCUUAACUUCUUAACACUCUCCGCAAAUUCAUGUCUUACAGCAUCCAACUACGAAUUCACCCACAGUUUUAUAUCAUCUGCCUCAUCAUCAUCAACCAAAUCAAACUUACGCUUCCUGCCUCGCCUUGAAGUAACGACUUUCGAUUUUGAUUGAGUUCCCUUUGAAGAAGGAGUUGGUGUAUGUUUCCUUUUCCUAUUGACUAUAUGUUUCUUGUGUUCAACAACAGGUUCCUUUUCAUUGACAGAAAUGAGCUGUAGAUCAGCAUAGCCACCAAGCCACUCUUUUUUGGUGAAUUCAUGACAUUUCCUUAUCUGCUCAAUCAAAUACAGCACAUUCUUGUCUCUCACUUCAUCAUCCCAAUCUCCCCAUCCUUCUUCGUUGUGGUCAACAAAAAGCAGAGGAGUAACAACCAACUGAACAGACAAAAACAAUAAUGAGAACACAUGAAAGUUAAAAACUAUAUAAAUGUUUAAAAUAACUUACAUCAGGAUCACGUUCAAGGAGAUGAACUUCAUUUAGGGAAAGAUUGUUUUUGGGAAUACCAAUUGAAUGCCAUUCCAAGAAGGUUAUAUCAUCUGAAGAACCAGGAAUCUUGUCAAGUAGACCAGAUAUGUUCCUAUAAGCAAGAAGUUGCAGGCCCAAAGGAAAGCCAUAGAUAGCUAUAGUUUGCUGUUGCAUCUGAUUUGUAAAGAGUUGGAUGGGAUCUUGAAUCUUGGACGCUGCGCGUGACCUUUUUCUCUUCGAUUCUGCCAUUGACGGUUUGUUUCUUCCAGGCCUCAUUACCUGUAUAGUCUUCAAGAAAGAUUCUCUCCCCCAUGGGAAAGAAAGGAAGGAGUCAAUGUUUUCCAACAUAUUCACAUACUUAUAUGUUGGCCGAUGAGUCUGAUUAUUGGCUAUAAGGACUCCAUCAACAAUAAGCAGAACAGCUAGUGGCAGUUUCAAAGGGUCUUCAAUCCCUUUCAAUGCCUGGAACUUAACGGAUACAUCAGCUAAUGUAGCAUUCUUAUCUUUACCAAUCAACACAUCCCAGUAAUCGUUCACCCCAUUCACACGUUUAGGGAAGAAAUCUGGAUCAUACUCCUCGGGGAAUUCACCACAAGGCAACCCAGUUACAGAACCAAACUCAACUAAAGAGAAUCUUAAUGGCUGUCCACCAAAAACCGUCCACAUUUCGUAUUUUUGUUUUGAUAGCAGUUGUCUACAUAACAGAGCAUGAACUAAUUUGCAAGAAAUUGGGCAUUCACUUACCCUUAAACUAAAUAGAGAACCAAAACACGAGUCCAAUAUGGUUUCCAUUUCUUUGGUACCUUCAAGAACAUCACAUAUGACUGUGAGUAUAUCGGGUUUGGAGUAAAUAUUCAGACGAGCGUCGGGGUAACGGUCAGUGGCAAAAAGCCUUGGAGGGAGUCUCAAAUCCCAGGCAAUUGCCGCUUCUUCCGCCGCACCUGCAAAUAAGUUGACAAGUAUUGAUGAAACUAUAGAAUAUAAAGUGAGAUCAAAGAAAAUAAGAUAUCGAUUACCUGUCAUUGAUACUUUUGAGAAAUGGAGAAGUGGAGAAACGGAGAAGAUGACCGCCGUUCUUUUCUCGACGGAAUUGAGUUUCAAUUUAUGUCACGGUCGACGAACUGGGUUUAGAAUUAUCGGAUACUCUUGACGAACUGGAGCUGAAUUUUAGAAUUUACAGGACCUGAAGUUUGUUUACGGAAGUGGAGAAGUGAAGAUUUUUCACCGCCGUUUCUUUUACUCGCCGGAAUAGAGUUUUCUAGGUCAUGGUUACGGGAUACGUUUUCUAGGACUGUAAAAAUUAAUAUUUUUAAUAGAUAACCAUAGAUAUGUAACUAUGGUUAAUGUCAGUUUCAGGGGUUUUUGGUAAAAAAACUUAAAAAACUGUCCACUACCCCUAAACUGCUCUAGAGGGAAAAUGAGUUUGAAAAUUGUGUCCCACAGAGUAAAAUUCUCUAAAUAAUAUUGGAAGAAUAAAAAUAUUUCCAUCUAAAAUAUUUGUUUAGAUCCGCCAUGGAGGUUUACUGAAGUAGCGGAAGCUUUAAGGAUAAAACUAGAGAUCCGUUGAUUCCUCGGAAUACCGGAUAACUAGGGUUUCUCGGAUCUGUUGAUUCCUCAGAAUACCAAAAACGAGAGAAUGUGAGGAAUUCGUUGAUUCUCCGCGAAUACCGAAUCCUACGUCUUCUUAUAAUCGUUGAGAUCUCUCGAGAUCUACCGAAAACAAGGAUUAGAGAAUACUCUUCUCUGAGAAGCUAAAAGCUCUUAAUUUUAUUAAUCAAUUAACUGUCUACAAAAGGAGGCAUUAGCGGCUUCUUUAUAAUAAAACAUAAGGAAACCCUAAAAUCUAUAGAAUAUUCUAGAAUAAUAAUAAUAAUUAAUUAAAAGAUAAUAACAAUAGAUAUUUGGAAUAUUUCCAAAUAUCACGCUGCAUCAGGUCUCGCCGGCCAAGAAAAGAUUCGUCCUCGAAUCUUGUUUCUGCGCUGCAUCAGCUCCCCCCGGCCAAGAAAGAUUCGCCCUCGAAUCUUCAACAGGGUUUUCAGCAUAGAAAAUCUUCGAAAAUUCAGCUUUAUCUCCAUCUUUUGAUUCUGCCCGAUUUUUGCACGAACUGGAUCUGACCCGAAAUUUGCACGAAAUCUUUUUUUCCAAAAAUCUUCAUGAAACAGAUCAUACCCAAAAUUUGCACCAAUCACUUUCUGCACGAUUUUCGCAUUGAUCUUAUCACGCCCGAUUUUUGCACAGCUAUGAUUAUGCACGAAUUUUGCACAUCUAUGAUUAUGCACGAAUUUUGCACAUCUAUGAUUAUGCACGAAUUGUGCACAUAUCUGAUCAUUCUUUAAUCCUGCACAGAUUUCAGCUUGCACGAAUUCUGCACAGAUUUUCUCGAACGCACCAUUGUUGAACACAAAAUCUACAUGAUCAAUAACCAAGACAUCAUCUUCAUAGAUAUCAUAGAUAGGAUCACCGUAGAUUUCCCUGUAACCAUCUUCAAACAAACUUUCUUCUACAAAAGGAUAAAAGUUACCACUCAACAUGAUCACCAGAAUCGUUCUUCGAUUGAGAAAUCAAAGAGACGCAGCUCUGAUACCAACUGAAGUAGCGGAAGCUUUAAGGAUAAAACUAGAGAUCCGUUAAUUCCUCGGAAUACCGGAUAACUAGGGUUUCUCGGAUCUGUUGAUUCCUCAGAAUACCAAAAACGAGAAAACGUGAGGAAUUCGUUGAUUCUCCGCGAAUACCGAAUCCUACGUCUUCUUAUAAUCGUUGAGAUCUCUCGAGAUCUACCGAAAACAAGGAUUAGAGAAUACUCUUCUCUUAGAAGCUAAAAGCUCUUAAUUUUAUUAAUCAAUUAACUGUCUACAAAAGAAGGCAUUAGCGGCUUAUUUAUAAUAAAACAUAAAGAAAGCCUAAAAUCUAUAAAAUAUUCUAGAAUAAUAAUAACAAUUAAUUAAAAGAUAAUAACAAUAGAUAUUUGGAAUAUUUCUAAAUAUCACGCUGCAUCACUUACAUAAAUGACAUGUUCGUAAAUCUCUAGUAAUAGAGAAUUAUCUAUCGAUUAGAUGACAUACUUUUAUAUAUAAAGAAUUAAUCCGUGAUUAAAAAAAAAUAGCAUAACUAAAGACCUACAUUUUUUUUCAAAUGUCAAGGGAAAAUAAUUGAUUCUACUAUAUUCAACAUCUGCUUCUGUACCCAACAACGUUACAUCAUGUCGUCGGUGUAGCGUUGGUUGGAGAGGAGAAUAACAAACAUUAUCAAUAGAAUUUGUGAGUAAACCGAUAUAGUAAAUGUCAAAGUCCCACAAAAUAUUAAGAAUCUUGUAGUUCCACAAAGUAAUACACAUCUCAUUUCAAAGUACUUCUCAACAUGUAAAAACAAUCAAAGAUUCUUCCCAUCAUUCACUACACAGAAAACAACCAAAUUCCCAAACAUAAUGUACAUGGUAAACCUCCAAAGGAACAUAAUAUCUCACUGGCCCUUGCUUCGUGGAUCUUCAGAGUGCAUAGCAUUGUAGUCUUUUGUGUAAACUCGGUGCCUCCUCUCCCGCGCAUAUAUAACCCAAAACACCAAAGAUGACAUUACAGAAGCAGACACUACCACAAGACCCACAUAGAUCCACUGUGUGUAUCUCUUCAGUCCCGGACAAUGAUCCCUCUCUAUAUCAGUGAAUGUAGACCUCACAAAGUCACACCCUUGCAGGUCUGCCAAGAACGGACCGUACUUGUACAGUCCAUAGCUUACAUUAACUGCUGCAGCCAUCUGGCUGUAAAGCUUUGGUGUCAACCGUCCCUGUGUGCUGCAUGUUCCCGGUGUUACGAUUUGGCAAGUGAAGUUCUUCCACACCUGCAUAAAAACAAAUUGGGUUUAUUCUUGAUUCUUUUGAUUUCAACUUCUAGUUGUGAUUCUGAAUUCAGAAAUUUUAUUAUUGAAUCCUCAGUUUACCUCUGUUGCAUUGUUCAGAUGAACCUCACCAGGCUGGCACUGGUGGUCAGAGAGAUCAGCAUUGAAGGGGUUACAGAGCAGGGGCAUUAGUGGACCUGACUGGUUGUAAUAAAGAGG